UUUUUUUUUAGUGUUGCGACGGCGCCCUGGCGUACGCACCGCAACCGCCGAGCUCCGCCACGCCUUCUUGUUUUUUUUUAGUGUUGCGACGGCGCCCUGGCGUGCCGGAAUCCUUUCACGCCCACUGUUUGCUGAGCUGCACUUGGUUCCAAAAGGAAUUACUAGAGGAAGAGAAACAUGAGAACUUACUGUUGCUAAUUGUUUUCCCCUUCUUUUGUGCCAAGCCCUCUCCUAUAGUCUUAUUCCAUCAGCAGUGGUACUGCAUCACAAAGAGCAUAUACUGUAUAUCACAACUGAAAAUUACUCGACAGCAGUUCAAAGGAAGUCCUGUUUGGCUGUCUGCGUCAUUAGUUACCUUUCUAUCUCAUACUGUGAACUUGUGAAGACUAUGCCCCCUGUCAAGAUCAUGUUCAGUACACUGUUUGUGUUACCAUCUUCCUGCAAGAACUGGUGCUACUGGCGUAAAAAAGAACAGCGCAACUACACCUGGACAGUUGAUGUAGAGACAACAUCAUGUUUGCACUGGUUUACUCUGUAUUUUCGUGUGAAAUAGGAUAUAUUCAGAAUUCUAAUUGUGAGUUUCUUUCAUACCAUUGAUGCUGGAGCUUUCAUGUGGUUUGGAGCUUGCCAUGGAAGCAUUCAUAGCAUAAAUUUGUGCAAGCUACUCCCUCCGUCCCAUAAUAUAAGAACGUUUUUCACACUAGUGUAGUGUCAAAAACGUUCUUAUAUUAUGGGACGGAGGGAGUAGCAUUCAUCUUGAGCCCCUCGGACACAAACUUGUGCAUUGUAGGGUGUCUUGCUUAUGGUUUUGACCUAAAUUACUUUGCUGUUGUUAUGUUGACUAUGAAUUGAAAAAAGAACUUUAACAUCUGAUCACAAUACUUAAGUUGAUUUAAGUACUACUUGCUAUAUUUUUUAUCCAUAUAUCUAAUCCAGGGCUGGCUUUAAUUUGGUUUUUAUAUGUUUGGUAAGAUAAUCCAGUGAAGUCUAAAUCCAUAACUAAUGCUUGAGGAAAACAAUUAUAAGUAUAUGCAAAUGCAUAUCUGUUUGGCUAUAAAAUAGGUGUACCUUUUAACCAUCCAUACCUAGCUGAAAAGGUUAAUCCUUGGAUUUUUACAUCGUCCAGCUAAAAGUUUACAGAAGAAGCCAGCUAUGAGGACUCCUGGUCAUGCUAAGAAGGUAAUUCGAAUGGAACAACUGUCUUUUGUUCAUCAGAUAUUGUUAUCCUGAUGGUUAGGUUUCAGAGAACUAUACUUACUAUAAUUUUGUCACUGAGAACUUGUAUGUCAGUAUGUAUUCAUAACUACAUUAACAUUUUUGCAGGUGAAAAAUGUGACGAAUGAUGCAAUUGACGGCAAGCGGGGCAUGAUCUACAUUCCAGACCAGAAGGUUUGUGUCUAAAUUGUUUUAUUAAUAGUUCUGAAGUUUAAAUUUAACCUAUUGGUAUGCUAAUCCGCUUCAUGUUUUAUUUUACUGAAAGAUUUCAAAAUUGACCUUAACAAAAGACAUAAAGGGUCUGAAGCGGGAGCGCCGUGACGCCAAGAAAAACAAGGGGCACUUGAAGAAGCAAAAGGUCAACCAUGAGUGAAUAAUACAGUCAUCAUAUAUUGUCGAACAUAUUCUGUUUUUCAUCAUCAAUAUCAUUAAUGCUUGUUCCAGAGUUAUUUUUAGUCUGCAUUCGGUGUUGAGUUAGCUAGGUAGUUCUGUAUCAACUUUUAGAUACAAUGAUGAUGGAACUUACGGUGCUAUAUGUCAUGGUUCGUGUUCUUGGCCUUGGUCACCAUAAUAUUGUCCAUAUUCUUUGGUUUCAAUCAUGUACAGCCUUUAUCAUCGAUCAAAAUAAAGUUUCACUAUGCUUGUUUCAGAUUUGAUGUGACAAGUCGGCUAAUUAACGUUUUGUAUCAGUUCAAAUGCUAACAAAGCUUGCUUCUACAGCUUAGUUAUUUUUACUUUUUAUGUGUCCUUUAAUUAGAUUUGUGUUGUAUACUGUGUCCCACAUUUGCUGAGAUAAAUCAUCGAUCUUCCAAUUCUAUAACAGUUUAUGAAAUCAGUCAACGUCCCACCCAGUACAGAUUCCAUUGCUGCCGGCAGCUAACGUUAACUCUGUUUCAACAUUUUGUUUUCAGCUGAGGAAGAAGAAGAAGCCCGCUCCCAGGAGUGCAAAAUGAAGGCGAGUGAAAGCCAUGACUCAAGUGACACGCACCAGCUGAACCAAUUGUCUCCUUAGCGUCUUAACAUCGUCCGUAAAAUUUAAGCUUUGUACUGGCUACCUUAAAGUCACUGCCGGGUUUAAACACCUUAAUCAUCACAGCGAUCUUUUGAAAAUAGUUUCUGCCAAAUGCAAGGUCUUAUAUAUGGGUCUAGUGUAGUGUCAAAAACGCUCUUAUAUUAUGGGACGGAGGGAGUAGCAUUCUUUUUCUUUUAUGAGUAGAUUUUUAAUUGUAGUACUGCUAUUUGCAGCAUCUUAUCUCAAUAUAGCAACCACUGCCUAUGAAACAACAACCUUUGUAGAAAGGGGAUUGUUGAUGGGAGAGGAUUGCGGAUGAGAGCGAAAAUUGGGGAUUUUUACAUUAAAGCAAGCUUGAUUACUAGCCAUCGUUGGGCAUUUCGCCUGGUACAAAGCUCCGCGACUAGUGUUGGAAUUUCAGUUCAAACCAAGGAUGAUCAGCACAGCAGCUACAACCUUGGGCAUACAACCUUGGUGCUUGAGGUACUAGUCGGCAGCUACUUUUUACUUUCAGCUGGUACGAGUGAUUAGGCGAGUGCUUUAAGCAUUCACAUACACUUUGUCAAGUCAUCCAUCUGUGCCUAAGCCGAGCACACAGAUCAUAACCUGAUUCACUGCAUCAUCCUUCAUAUAAUAUGCAGCUACUCCCUCCGUUCGGAAUUACUUGUCUCGAGAAUGGAUGUAUCUAGAACUAAAAUACAUCUAGAUACAUCUAAUUUUGCGACAAGUAAUUCCGAACGGAGGGAGUACGUUCUGUCUUUUCCCAUCAUCCAUAAUCUUGAGUAUAAUGUGCAUCUACGUUCUUUCUCUUCCUGCUGUCGUCUAGUACACGAGAUGCGUGAAACAGGGCACGAGUAGCAGUAGCUUCUCUUACGUAUAGCCGUAGUUCCGUAGCAGAAUCAGCAAAUUUUGGCAGAUGUUGCUUUGCUCCCUGCCAAUCACAAGUUCACAACAGACGCAUCAGUGUACUUCAGCACAACCCUCAAACUCUGGAUAUACACCUGAUGAAUUCUGUCACAAAAACGAGAAAUAGUAAUUUAUAAACCGAUUGAACUCGCGCAGACGCUCUGGUGCUUCUCCUUGGCGAGCCAGGCAUUUUUUUUUGUGGGUAAUAGUGCAGUACCUAUCAAUUCUGAGAGCCCGGCCACGGUUCUCUGCUGGUGACGGAGGAAGAGGUCCCUGUAGAGCCACUCUUCUUUUAUCUUACUUUUGAAUGUUGUGAGAGCAAGUAUAAUAAGGUGACAUAAGCAGGCUGUAAGGAUUUAAAUAUUAUAUUGGUGUUGAUCGGAAAAGAGAAAAGGAGAGAGAAGAGAAGCGGAUGUAGACUUACAGCCGGCUGUAUCACAAGCUCCAAGAAACUUUGUGAGAGUGGAAGAUGGAUCCUAUGUUGACAAAGUAGUACUUUCUUAUAGCCAAUUAUUAUACGUGUUGGCUAUUACAUUAAUUAUAAAUGACAUGGCAAUGUGUUAUAGCCAACAGAUGGCUAUAUUAUUAACCAUGCUCUGAGGGCUUCUCUAUCACUUUAGUUUGGGAUCUCGUUUUUCUUUGAGAGAAAACGGGACCAAAACUGGCGAACCGUCUCAUCCGGCUUUUGAAUGAGGAGUGAUAAAUCCCAGAUGUAUGCUUGUCCUCGUCGGCGUAAAUCGUCGGUUGACCCUUCGAUUGUAGCAAUGAGAUGGGUGGUGGGUGGGUUUGAAAAUCUGAUCUCGGCCGAUGUCAUCUUACUCCAACCACUUGCGAGAUCUGAUUGUUGAGGAUUAUUGACUCUUCGGCUAGUCCUGAUGUCGAGCACUGGAAUUUUCCCUCGCGUUCUCCUCGGACCCAAUCUGACGUCGGGGCUAGAGGAAGUUUCUACAAGAUCCGAUCUGACACGAAUCCUGGUUCUUUAUUGUUGACCUGGCCACUUAUCUUAGUCCGGGGAGGGGUCGUCGGAUACUGCCCUGGUGGCAGAUUCGAUGAUGGUCAUGCACCUGCGCCCUAAACCUGACUUGACGUCAGCAUUGGAUCGCGUGCCUCAUACUGGACCUCGGUGUGGCUAAACAACCUUUCUACGAGGGCUGCGCGAGCCCGCAGUGUGCUCCAAAUCACCGGAUCUAAUGAUACGGCAUGGGAUCGAGGUUUUGACCCGCCCUAGGUGGCCAAUCGAAUCGGCGAGGAAGGCAGCGCUGCCGAAAACAAAGAUUUGGCUUGGCACAAAGGUCAUGUCACCGCCAAUCUUGAUUGUCAUCGGAUUGAUGCAACUACAUGGCGAGACCUGCUUGGGCCACCAAAGACAGAGUCGAUUCCGGCAUAUCUUGGGUAGAGGGAACCCCAGCUGGUAGCCUAGAUGUAAUGGUAAGAGAGACAAGAUAUUUUACCCAGGUUUGGGCUCUCUAAGAAGAUAAAACCCUACGUCAUGUUUGUAUUUUAUUGAUUUGGGAAGUAGUACAAAGUAUAGGUUGGUCUACCAUGAGAUCGAUGAUGUCCUCUACCCCCUGGCUUAUAUAGUUACCAUGGAGCCUAGGGUUAUAGUAAGCUUGGCUAUGUAUAAGUGUUGCAGACGAUAGCUAAGUCAUGGAGUAUGCGAAAGUCUUUAAGAAAAUUCCUUCUACGCGCCUCUACGCGCCAUGGGCCGCUUUUGAUGUUGCCGGCUGAUGAACUGGAGUUAAUUGCAAGGAACUACCACACUUCGACACGUUGUGACGAAUCAGUACCACUAGUCACUUUUUUUGCCAUGCAGUGCCAACUCUAAGCCUAAGUGUUGCAAAACGGUCUGACAGCCGUAUAAGUGCGUAUUGACCACGUAUCUAACCUACCGGGCCCACGCGUCAGGUGCCACAGUGGCUUACCCGCACGCACCCGUAUCGGUCGCUCCAUGUAGCCGGGCCCGGUCGAACCCAACCGGAGCCAGCCGCACUCUGUCCCUCUCCUCGCCCCAUCGCCCUCGUUUCUCCAGCCGCCGCUUGCCGCGCAGACCGACGCGUCCGCCACUGCCGCCUGAUACGUCUCCAUCGUAUCUACUUUUGCAAACACGUUUGCCCUUAUUUUGGACUCUAACUUGCAUGAUUUGAAUGUAACUAACCCGUACUAACGAUGUUUUCAGCAGAAUUGCCAUGGUGUUAUUGUUGUGCAGAAAUAAAAGUUCUUGGAAUGACCUAAAAAUCAACGGAGAUUAUUUUUGGAAUAUAUAAAAAAUACUGAAAGAAGAAUCCACGUCAGGGGGCCCACACCCUGUCCAUGAGGGUAGGGGCGCGCCUACCCCCCUGGGCGUGCCCCUGCCUCGUGGGCCCCCUGACGCUCCACCGACCUCAACUCCAACUCCAUAUAUUCGUGUUUGGGGAGAAAAAAAAAUAGAAGAGAAGGAUUCAUCGCGUUUUACGAUACGGAGUCGCCGCCAAGCCCUAAACUCUAUCGGGAGGGCUAAUCUGGAGUCCGUUCGGAGCUCCGGAGAGGGGGAUCCGUCGCCAUCGUCAUCAUCAACCUUCCUCCAUCACCAAUUUCAUGAUGCUCACUGUCGUGCGUGAGUAAUUCCAUCAUGGGCUUGCUGGACGGUGAUGGGUUGGAUGAGAUUUAUCAUGUAAUCGAGUUAGUUUUGUUAGGGUUUGAUCCCUAGUAUCCACUAUGUUCUGAGAUUGAUGUUGCUAUGACUUUGCUAUGCUUAAUGCUUGUCACUAGGGCCCGAGUGCCAUGAUUUCAGAUCUGAACCUAUUAUGUUUUCAUGAAUAUAUGUGAGUUCUUGAUCCUAUCUUGCAAGUCUAUAGUCACCUAUUAUGUGUUAUGAUCCGUUAACCCCGAAGUGACAAUAAUCGAGACCAUUACCGGUGAUGACCGUAGUUUGAGGAGUUCAUGUAUUCACUAUCUGUUAAUGCUUUGGUCCGGUACUCUAUUAAAAGGAGGCCUUAAUAUCCCUUAGUUUCCAAUAGGACCCCGCUGCCACGGGAGGGUAGGACAAAAGAUGUCAUGCAAGUUCUUUUCCAUAAGCACGUAUGAAUAUAUUCGGAAUACAUGCCUACAUUACAUUGAUGAACUAGAGCUAGUUCUGUGCCACCCUAUGUUAUAACCGUUGAAUGAUCGAUUGCAUCCGACAUAAUUCUCCAUCACGGAUCCAAUGCCUACGAGCUUUUCAUAUAUUGUUCUUCGCUUAUUUACUUUUCCGUUGCUACUGUUACAAUCACUAUAAAACCCAAAAAUAUUAAUUUUGCUACCGUUACCAUUAUUAUCAUAUUACUUUGCUACUAAAUACCUUGUUGCAGAUAUUAAGUUUCCAGGUGUGGUUGAAUUAACAACUUAGCUGCUAAUACUUGAGAAUAUUCUUUGGCUCCCCUUGUGUUGAAUCAAUAAAUUUGGGUUGAAUACUCUACCCUCGAAAAUUGUUGCGAUCCCCUAUACUUGUGGGUUAUCAAGACUAUUUUCUGGUGCCGUUGCCGGGGAGCAUAGCUCUAUUCUUUGAGUCACUUGGGAUUUAUAUCUGCUUAUCACUAUGAAGAACUUGAAAGAUUAAAGAACCAAGAUUUUCCCUCAACUACGAAGGGAGGUAAGGAAUUAUCAUCUAGCUCUGCACUUGAUUCACCUUCUGUUUUGAGUAAACUUGCGACACCUACACAUGCUAUUGAUUCUGAUAGGUCGCAUGUUAUUGAUGAUGCCACUUCUUCUUUGCAUGAUACUUAUGAUGAAACCACUUCUAUGCUUGAUACUACUGUGCCACUAGGUGAAUUUCUUGAUGAACAACUUGCUAGGGAUAGAGAGAAUGAAAUUAUUGAAACUGAUAAUAUUGAUGAAAGUGAUGAUGAAGAUUCUCCCCCUAGAUAUGAAUUGCCGGUUUUGCCUGAGGGUUGUGUUAUGGAUAAAGAAACUGCUAGAGACUUUCUUGCUUGCAAUGAUAGAUCUGAUCUUAAGAAAUUAUUAGCUAAGCUUAAAGAAAAGUCUUUGAAUGCUAGAAUGAAAUAUGAUCUUGCUUUUGCUACUUCACCUAUCUUUUCACCUAUCUUUAUUACUGAUAAGGAUUAUGAUUUCUCUGUCGAUCAUGAGUGAUACGUCUCCAACGUAUCACAUUAUUGGGCUUUAUAAUCCACUUUCAUAUUAUUUUUGGGACUAACCUAUUAACCGGAGGCCCAGCCCAGAAUUGCUAUUUUUUUGCAUGUUUUAGGAUUUCGAAGAAAAGGAAUAUCAAACGGAGUCCAAACGGAAUGAAACCUUCGGGAACGUGAUUUUCUCAACGAACAAGACCCGGGAGACUUGGACCCUACGUCAAGAAAUAAAAGAGGAGGCCACGAGGUAGGGGGCGCGCCUUCCCCCCAGGCGCGCCCUCCACCCUCAUGGGCCCCCUGUUGCUCCACCGACGUACUCCUUCCUCCUAUAUAUACCUACGUACCCUCAAACGAUCAGAUACGGAGCCAAAACCCUAAUUCCACCGCCGUAACUUUUUGUAUCCACGAGAUCCCAUCUUGGGGCCUGUUCCGGAGCUCCGCCGGAGGGGGCAUCGAUCACAGAGGGCUUCUACAUCAUCAUCCAAGCCCCUCCGAUGAAGUGUGAGUAGUUUACUUCAGACCUAUGGGUCCAUAGUUAGUAGCUAGAUGGCUUUUUCUCUCUUAUUGGAUCUCAAUACAAUGUUCUCCCCCUCUCUCGUGGAGAUCUAUUCGAUGUAAUCUUCUUUUUGCGGUGUGUUUGUUGAGACCGAUGAAUUGUGGGUUUAUGAUCCAGUCUAUCUAUGAAUAAUAUUUGAAUCUUCUCUGAAUUAUUUUAUGUAUGAUUGGUUAUCUUUGCAAGUCUCUUCGAAUUAUCAGUUUGGUUUGGCCUACUAGAUUGGUUUUUCUUGCCGUGGGAGAAGUGCUUAGCUUUGGGUUCGAUCUUGCGGUGUCCUUUCACAGUGACAUAAAGGGCAGCAAGGCACGUAUUGUAUUUUUGCCAUCGAGGAUAACAAGAUGGGGCUUUUAUCAUAUUGCAUGAAACUAUCCGUCUACAUCAUGUCAUCUUGCUUAAGGCGUUACUCUGUUUUUAACUUAAUACUCUAGAUGCAUGCUGGAUAGCGGUCGAUGAGUGGAGUAAUAGUAGUAGAUGCAGGCAGGAGUCGGUCUACUUGUCUCGGACGUGAUGCGUAUAUACAUGAUAAUACCUAGAUAUUCUCAUGCUCAAUUCUGUCAAUUGCUCAACAGUAAUUUGUUCACCCAUCGUAGAAUACUUAUGCUCUUGAGAGAAGCCACUAGUGAAACCUAUGGCCCCCAGGUCUCUUUCUCAUCAUAUCAAUCUCCAUCACGUUAUUACUGCUUUGCUUUUACUUUUCACUUUGCAUCUCUAUACCAAAAAUACCAAAAAUAUUAUUUAUCAUCUCUAUCAGAUCUCACUUUCGUAAGUGACCGUGAAGGGAUUGACAACCCCUAAGCGCGUUGGUUGUGUUGAGCUAUUGUUUUUGUGUAGGUACGAGGGACUCGUGCGUAGCCUCCUACUGGAUUGAUACCUUGGUUCUCAAAAACUGAGGGCUACUUUGCUGCAUCAUCCUCUCCUCUUCGAGGAAAUCCAACGCAGUGCUCAAGAGGUAGCAAGAAGAAUUUCUGGCGUCGUUGCCGCGGAGUCUGCGCAAAAGUCAACAUACCAAGUACCCAUUACAAUCCCUAUCUCCCACAUUACAUUAUUUGCCAUUUGCCUCUCAUUUGCCUCUCCCCCACUUCACCCUUGUCGUUUUAUUCGCUCUCUCUCUCUCUCUCUCUCUCUCUCUCUCUCUCUCUAUCCUCCCUCUCUUUCUCUAUUUGCCUCUUUUGCUUGUUUUCUUGUGUUACCUUGUGCCUUCCAUUUGCUUGCAUCUUUGCUUGCUAAUAAUCUAUUAUUAUGGAUCCACUUAAAGUGUUCUACUUGGAUCAUCUUCGAUCCUUAUGCGCUCGUGCUGAAACCCCAAUACCCUAACUAGCCAAGUUGAUGGGAAAUCUUUAGAUGAGCAUGCUCAUUUUGUGCGUCAUCGUUUGUCUGAAAAGGGGAAGCUCUUAUGGUAUCAUAUAAAUAGUUUGCUAUGCUAUGCUUGGAAUCUUUGUGAUAUUUAUGAUUUUACUUGUUGCUCUAAGAACCCUAAAAAACACCUUCCCUACCUAUGUGAGUUCAAUGAUAAUGAAAUCUUAUCUUCUUAUGUAAAGGGUGUUUAUAGUUACUAUAAUAUCGAACAAAUUGAAGAAUUUGUCGAUUUUAAGGGUGCUCAUGAAGUUGCUUCUUUGAUUGAAAAGUAUGAUUUCACUCUCAAUAAAUCUGAAAAUUCCAUCAUACUUAAAUAUUGCAAUGAAAACCUUACCCAUAAUGUCUAUGUCCAAGAAUUUAUUGAAAGAAUGACCGUUGCUUCGGAAGAAAAUAAUGAUAUGCAUGAAUCUAUAGAUAAUGAUCAUUCUGAUGAUUUGGUUGAAAUAUCCCUUGAUGAACAUGAUGCUUGCUAUGCUUCUGGCCAUGAUGCCAAUAUUUAUGAAGAUGAAUCUGCUAUAGUUCCUUAUGUUACACAUGAGAUCGUUGCUAUUGCACCCAUACUUGAUAGUUCCUUCGAUGAAAAGCAUGAUUGUAAUGAUGUUAUUAUAAAUUCUCUUAAUGUCAAUUGUGUUAAUGAUAUGCAAAACCCUAAGCUUGGGGAUGCUAGUUUUGCUAUGUCCUCUACUUGUUGCAAUGAUCAUGAUUGGGGUGAUUCUUCUUUUGAUCUUGAAAAUUUAUUUAAACCCCAUGAUGAAUAUGAGAUUGAUUAUAAUGUUUUAAAUAAUAUUGAAAGUGGGUUUGGAAGAAUGUCAACUUUAGAUCCCACAUAUUUGGAGAAUGUUCAAUCUCAUGAAGUUUUUGAUAAAAGUGGGUUUGGAAAGGUCAUGACUUUAGUUAAUGUUGAUCCCACUAUUUCGGAAGAGUGUCAACUUUGCAUGCAUGUGGAUCAAGUUGAGAAUAUUUUAUGUGAUAGCUAUUUUGUUGAAUUUGCUUAUGAUCCUACAUGUAAUUAUUAUGAGAGAGGAAAAUAUGGUGGUAGAAAUUUCCAUGUUACUAAAUUACCUCUCGUUAUGUUGAGAUGGCUAUUGUUUCUUUCCUCUUCCUUGCAUAUGCUAGUUUUUGCUUACCUUGAUAAUUUGUUUGCCUAUAAGAUGCCUAUGCAUAGGAAGUAUGUUAGACUUAUAUGUGUUUGUCACGUGUUUUAUGAUGCCCUCUUUGUGCUUCAAUUCUUGUCUUUCAUGUGAGCAUCAUCAAAAUUAUCAAUGCCUGGCUAUAAGGCUUUAAAGAAAAGCGCUUGUUGGGAGACAACCCAAUAUUUUUCCUUGCUGUUAUUUAAUAAAUAAAUUAUCUAGCCUAUGUUUUGGUUGUGUUUUUUGUGUUUAAUUAGUGUUUGUUCCAAGUAGAACCGUUGGGAAGACUUGGGGAAAGUCAUGUUGAACUUGCUGUAAAAAACAGAAACUUAAGCGCUCACGAGAACUGCUGUCAUUUUUAUUUGGAAAGUGAUAUUUAGUUAAUUCUUUUUGCAGAUGAUUAAUAGAUAAAUUCCUCACGUCCAGAAAUUUAUUUUAGAAUUUUUGGGGUUCCAUAUUUUGCGCUAGCUACAGAUUACUACAGACUGUUCUGUUUUUGACAGAUUCUGUUUUUCGUGUGUUGUUUGCUUAUUUUGAUGAAUCUAUGGCUAGUAAAAUAGUUUAUAAUCCAUAGAGAAGUUGGAAUACAGUAGGUAUAACACCCAUUAAAGAAUGAGUUCAUUACAGUACCUUGAAGUGGUCUUUUGUUUUCUUUCGCUAACGGAGCUCACGAGAUUUUCUACUUUAAGUUUUGUGUUGUGAAGUUUUCAAGUUUUGGGUAAAGAUUUGAUGGAUUAUGGAACAAGGAGUGGAAAGAGCCUAAGCUUGGGGAUGCCCAUGGCACCCCCAAGAUAAUCUAAGGACACCUAAAAGCCAAAGCUUGGGGAUGCCCCGGAAGGCAUCCCCUCUUUCGUCUACUUCCAUCGGUAACUUUACUUGGAGCUAUAUUUUUAUUCACCACAUGAUAUGUGUUUUGCUUGGAGCGUAUUUUAUGAUUUGAAUCUUUGCUUGUUAGUCUACCACAAUCAUCCUUGCUGUACACACCUUUUGAGAGAGCCAUACAUAAUUUGGAAUUUGAUAGAAUACUCUAUGUGCUUCACUUAUAUCUUUUGAGUUAUAUAAUUUUGCUCUAGUGCUUCACUUAUAUCUUUUAGAGCACGGUGGUGGAUUUGUUUUAUAGAAACUAUUGAUCUCUCAUGCUUCACUUAGAUUAUUUUGAGAGUCUUAAUAGCAUGGUAAUUUUCUUAAUAAUAAUAUGCUUGGUAUUCAAGAUUUGUAAAACUUUCUUUUGAGUGCGUUGAAUACUAAGAAAAAAAUUGAUGCUUGAUAAUUGUUUUGAGAUAUGAGGAUGGUGAUAUUAGAGUCAUGCUAGUUGAAUAGUUGUGAAUUUAAGAAAUUCUUGUGUUAAAGUUUGUGAUUCCCGUAGCAUGCACGUAUGGUGAACUGUCAUGUGAUGAAGUCGGAGCAUGAUUUAUUUACUGAUUGUCUUCCUUAUGAGUGGCGGUCGGGGACGAGCGAUGGUAUUUUCCUACCAAUCUAUCCCCCUAGGAGCAUGCGCGUAAUACUUUGCUUUGAUAACUUCUAGAUUUUUGCAAUAAGUAUAUGAGUUCUUUAUGACUAAUGUUGAGUCCAUGGAUUAUAUGCACUUUCCUUCCUUCCACCAUUGCUAGCCUCUCUAAUACCGCGCACUUUUCGCCGGUAUCAUACACCCACCAAAUACCUUCCUCAAAACAGCCACCAUACCUACCUAUGAUGGCAUUUCCAUAGCCAUUCCGAGAUAUAUUGCCAUGCAACUUUCCACCAUUCUGUUCAUUAUGACACGCUCCAUCAUUGUCAUAUUGCUAGCAUGAUCAUGUAGUUGACAUCGUAUUUGUGGCAAAGCCACCGUUCAUAAUUCUUUCAUACAUGUCACUCUUGAUUCAUUGCAUAUCCCGGUACACCGCCGGAGGCAUUCAUAUAGAGUCAUAUUUUGUUCUAAGUAUUGAGUUGUAAUUGUUGAGUUGUAAGAAAAAUAAAAAGUAUGAUGAUCAUCAUUUCUAGAGCAUUGUCCCAAGUGAGGAAAUGAUGAUGGAGACUAUGAUUCCCCCACAAGUCGGGAUGAGACUCUGGACGAAAAAGAAAAAAAAAGAAAAAGAGGCCAUAAAAAAAGAGAAGGCCCAAAAAAAUGAGAGAAAAAGAGAGAAGGGACAAUGUUACUAUCCUUUUACCACACAUGUGCUUCAAAGUAGCACCAUGAUCUUCAUGAUAGAGAGUCUCAUAUGUUGUCACUUUCAUAUACUAGUGGGAAUCUUUCAUUAUAGAACUUGGCUUGUAUAUUCCAAUGAUGGGCUUCCUCAAAAUGCCCUAGGUCUUCAUGAGCAAGCAAGUUGGAUGCACACCCACUUAGUUUCUUUUUGAGCUUUCAUACACUUAUAGCUCUAGUGCAUCCGUUGCAUGGCAAUCCCUACUCACUCACAUUGAUAUCUAUUGAUGGGCAUCUCCAUAGCCCGUUGAUACGCCUAGUUGAUGUGAGACUAUCUUCUCCCUUUUUGUCUUCUCCACAACCACCCUUCUAUUCCACAUAUAGUGCUAUAUCCAUGGCUCACGCUCAUGUAUUGCAUGAAGAUUGAAAAGGUUUGAGAACAUCAAAACUAUGACACAAUUGCUUGGCUUGUCAUCGGGGUUGUGCAUGAUUUAAAUACUUUGUGUGGUGAAGAUGGAGCAUAGCCAGACUAUAUGAUUCUGUAGGGAUAGCUUUCUUUGGCCAUGUUAUUUUGAGAAGACAUGAUUGCUUAGUUAGUAUGCUUGAAGUAUUAUUAUUUUUAUGUCAACAUGAACUUUUGUAUUGAAUCUUUUGAAUAUGAAUAUUCAUACCACAAUUAAGAAGAUUUACAUUGAAAUUAUGCCAAGUAGCACUCCGCAUCAAAAAUUCUAUUUUUAUCAUUUACCUACUCGAGGACGAGCAGGAAUUAAGCUUGGGGAUGCUUGAUACGUCUCCAACGUAUCUAUAAUUUUUUGAUUGCUUAUUAUCUACUGUUUUGGACAUUAUUGGGCUUUAUUAUCCACUUUUAUAUUAUUUUUGGGACUAACCUAUUAACUGGAGGCCCAGCCCAGAAUUGCUGUUUUUUGCCUGUUUUAGGGUUUCGAAGAACAGGAAUAUCAUACGGAGUCCAAACGGAAUGAAACCUUCGGGAACAUGAUUUUCUCACCGAAUACAACUCAGGAGACUUGGACCCUACGUCAAGCCAAUUAACAGGANNNNNNNNNNNNNNNNNNNNNNNNNNNNNNNNNNNNNNNNNNNNNNNNNNNNNNNNNNNNNNNNNNNNNNNNNNNNNNNNNNNNNNNNNNNNNNNNNNNNNNNNNNNNNNNNNNNNNNNNNNNNNNNNNNNNNNNNNNNNNNNNNNNNNNNNNNNNNNNNNNNNNNNNNNNNNNNNNNNNNNNNNNNNNNNNNNNNNNNNNNNNNNNNNNNNNNNNNNNNNNNNNNNNNNNNNNNNNNNNNNNNNNNNNNNNNNNNNNNNNNUCCUCCUAUAUAUAUCCACGUACACCCAAACGAUCAGAUACGGAGCCAAAAACCUAAUUCCACCACCGCAACUUUCUGUAUCCACGAGAUCCCAUCUUGGGGCCUGUUCCGGAGCUCCGCCGGAGGGGGCAUCGAUCACGGAGGGCUUCUACAUCAUCAUCCAAGCCCCUCCGAUGAAGUGUGAGUAGUUUACUUCAGACCUACGGGUCCAUAGUUAGUAGCUCGAUGGCUUCUUCUCUCUUAUUGGAUCUCAAUACAAUGUUCUCCCCCUCUCUCGUGGAGAUCUAUUCGAUGUAAUCUUCUUUUUGUGGUGUGUUUGUUGAGACCGAUGAAUUGUGGGUUUAUGAUCCAGUCUAUCUAUGAAUAAUAUUUGAAUCUUCUCUGAAUUAUUUUAUGUAUGAUUGGUUAUCUUUGCAAGUCUCUUCGAAUUAUCAGUUUGGUUUGGCCUACUAGAUUGGUUUUUCUUGCCAUGGGAGAAGUGCUUAGCUUUGGGUUCGAUCUUGCGGUGUCCUUUCACAGUGACAGAAGGGGCAGCAAGGCACAUAUUGUAUUGUUGCCAUCGAGGAUAACAAGAUGGGGUUUUUAUCAUAUUGCAUGAAACUAUCCGUCUACAUCAUGUCAUCUUGCUUAAGGCGUUACUCUGUUUUUAACUUAAUACUCUAGAUGCAUGUUGGAUAGCGGUCGAUGAGUGGAGUAAUAGUAGUAGAUGCAGGCAGGAGUCGGUCUACUUGUCUCGGACGUGAUGCGUAUAUACAUGAUCAUACCUAGAUAUUCUCAUAACUAUGCUCAAUUUUGUCAAUUGCUCAACAAUAAUUUGUUCACCCACCGUAGAAUACUUAUGCUCUUGAGAGAAGCCACUAGUGAAACCUAUGGCCCCCGGGUCUCUUUCUCAUCAUAUCAAUCUCCAUCACUUUAUUACUGCUUUGCUUUUACUUUCACUUUGCAUCUCUAUACCAAAAAUACCAAAAAUAUUAUUUAUCAUCUCUAUCAGAUCUCACUUUCGUAAGUGACCGUGAAGGGAUUGACAACCCCUAAGCGCGUUGGUUGCAUUGAGCUAUUGUUUUUGUGUAGGUACGAGGGACUCGUGCGUAGCCUCCUACUGGAUUGAUACCUUGGUUCUCAAAAACUGAGGGAAAUACUUACGCUACUUUGCUACAUCAUGCUCUCCUCUUCGGGGAAAUCCAACGCAGUGCUCAAGAGGUAGCAAUGAGUUAAUUACUUUGGUUGAAUCUGAUCAUUUUUAUGGCUAUGAAUCUGAAAUUGUUGUGGCACAUCUUACUAAAUUAAAUGAUUUAGCCACCUUGUUUACACGUGAUGAGAAAACUCUCUAUUACUUUAUCCUUAAGUUGUUUUCGUUCUCAUUAAAGGGUGAUGCUAAAACAUGGUUUAAUUCUCUUGAUCCUGGUUGUGUGCGUAGUCCCCGGGAUAUGAUUUAUUACUUCUCUGCUAAAUAUUUCCCCGCUCAUAAGAAACAAGUUGCCUUAAGGGAAAUAUAUAAUUUUGUGAAAAUUGAAGAAGAGAGUCUCCCACAAACUUGGAGAGGCUUCUCCAAUUACUUAAUGCUUUUCGUGAUCAUCCUCUCAAGAAAAAUGAAAUACUUGAUAUCUUUUAUAAUGGACUAACCGAUGCUUCCAGAGACUACCUGGAUAGUUGUGCUGGUUGUGUUUUCAGGGAAAGAACUGUUGAUCAAGUUGAAUUGCUAUUGAAUAAUAUGUUGACAAAUGAAAAUAAUUGGACACUUCCUGAACCAACUCCUAAGCCAACUCCUAAGAAAAGGGGCAUUCUAUUUCUCAAUCCUGAAGAUAUGCAAGAGGCAAAGAAAUCUAUGAAAGAAAAAGGUAUUAAAGCUGAAGAUGUUAAGAAUUUACCACCUAUUGAAGAAAUUCAUGGUCUUGAUAACCCGACACACGUAGUAAAGGUAAAUUCUCUCUAUAGAUUUGAUAAAUGUGAAAUCCCAUUUACUAAGUUUGCUAGCCAAUGCUUGGAUGAGUUUGAUGACUUUAUGGUUAAACAAGAAAACUUGAAUGCUUUUGUUGGUAGACAAUUGAAACACAAUGCUGAUAUGCUUGAACACUUGAGUGAUUAUAUGGCUAAUGUUAAAGGUGAACUUAAACUUAUUAGUAAACAUGCUUCUAUGGUUACCACUCAAGUAGAACAAGUACUUAAAGCUCAGAAUGAUUUGCUCAAUGAAUUAAAUAAUAAGAAAAAUGAUAAUGAUGUUAGAGUUAUGACUAGAUGGGGUAAAAUGACUCAGGAACUUUUGUAUCCUGAGGGCCAUCCCAAGAGAAUUGAGCAAUAUUCUCAGAGAACUAAUGUUGAUGCACCUAGUCCUUCUAAAAGGAAGAAUAAGAAAAAUGAUAGGACUUUGCAUGCUUCUAGUGAACCCAUUGGUGACAUACCUGAGAACCCCAAUGAUAUUUCUAUUUCUGAUGCUGAAACACAAUCUGGUAACGAACAUGAACCUAGUGAUAAUGUUAAUGAUGAUGUUCAUGUUGAUGCUCAACCUAGUAAUGAUAAUGAUGUAUGAUACGUCUCCAACGUAUCUAUAAUUUUUGAUUUCUCCAUGCUAUAUUAUCUACUAUUUUGGACAUUAUUGGGCUUUAUUAUCCACUUUUAUAUUAUUUUGGGACUAACCUAUUAACCGGAGGCCCAACCCAGAAUUGCUGUUUUUUGCCUGUUUUAGGGUUUCGAAGAAAAGGAAUAUCAAAUGGAGUCCAAACGGAAUGAAACCUUCGGGAACGUGAUUUUCGGAACGAACAUGAUCCAGGAGACUUGACCCUACAUGAAGCAACCAAUAGGGAAGCCACGAGGUAGGGGGCGCGCCUACCCCCCCCCCCCCAGGCACGCCCUCCACCCUCAUGGGCCCCUGUUGCUCCACCGACGUACUCCUUCCUCCUAUAUAUACCUACGUACCACCAAACGAUCAGAUACGGAGCCAAAACCCUAAUUCCACCGCCGUAACUUUCUGUAUCCAUGUGAUCCCAUCUUGCGGCAUGUUUCGGAGCUCCGCCAGAGGGGGCAUCGAUCACGGAGGGCUUCUACAUCAACACCAUAGCCCCUCCGAUGAAGUGUGAGUAGUUUACCUCAGACCUACGGGUCCAUAGUUAGUGGCUAGAUGGCUUCUUCUCUCUUUUUGGAUCUCAAUACAAUGUUCCCCCCUCUCUUGUGGAGAACUAUUCGAUGUAAUCUUCUUUUUGCGGUGUGUUUGUUGAGACCGGUGAAUUGUGGGUUUAUGAUCAAGUCUAUCUAUGAACAAUAUUUGAAUCUUCUCUGAAUUCUUUUAUGUAUGAUUGGUUAUCUUUGCAAGUCUCUUCUAAUUAUCAGUUUGGUUUGGCCUACUAGAUUGAUCUUUCUUGCAAUGGGAGAAGUGCUUAGCUUUGGGUUCAAUCUUGCGGUGUCCUUUCCCAGUGACAGUAGGGGCAGCAAGGCACGUAUUGUAUUGUUUCCAUCGAGGAUAACAAGAUGGGGUUUUCAUCAUAUUGCAUGAGUUUAUCCCUCUACAUCAUGUCAUCUUGCUUAAGGCAUUACUCUGUUUUCAUUAACUUAAUACUCUAGAUGCAUGAGUGGAGUAAUAGUAGUAGAUGCAGGCAGGAGUCGGUCUACUUGUUUCGGAUGUGAUGCCUAUAUACAUGAUCAUGCCUAGAUAUUCUCAUAACUAUGCUCAAUUCUGUCAAUUGCUCAACAGUAAUUUGUUCACCCACCGUAGAAUACUUAUGCUCUCGAGAGAAGCCACUAGUGAAACCUAUGGCCCCCGGGUCUAUCUUCAUCAUAUUAAUCUCCCAAUACUUAGUUAUUUCUGUUGGAAAUAUGCCCUAGAGGCAAUAAUAAAAUGAUUAUUAUUAUAUUUCCUUUUUCAUGAUAAUUGUCUAUUACUCAUGCUAUAAUUGUGUUAUCCGGAAAUCAUAAUACAUGUGUGAAUACAUAGACCAUAACAUGUCCCUAGUGAGCCUCUAGUUAACUAGCUCGUUGAUCAACAGAUAGUCAUGGUUUCCUGACUAUGGACAUUGGAUGUCAUUGAUAACGGGAUCACAUCAUUAGGAGAAUGAUGUGAUGGACAAGACCCAAUCCUAAGCAUAGCACAAGAUCGUGUAGUUCGUUUGCUAGAGCUUUUCCAAUGUCAAGUAUCAUUACCUUAGACCAUGAGAUCGUGUAACUCCCGAAUGCCGUAGGAGUGCUUUGGGUGUACCAAACGUCACAACGUAACUGGGUGACUAUAAAGGUAUACUACAGGUAUCCCCGAAAGUAUCUGUUGGGUUGACACGGAUCGAGACUAGGAUUUGUCACUCCGUAUGAUGGAGAGGUAUCUAUGGGCCCACUUGGUAAUGCAUCAUCACAAUGAGCUCAAUGUGACCAAGUGUUUGGUCACGGGAUCAUGCAUUACGGUACGAGUAAAGUGACUUGCCGGUAACGAGAUUGAACGAGGUAUUGGGAUACCGACGAUCGAAUCUCGGGCAAGUAACGUACCGAUUGAGAAAGGGAAUUGUAUACGGGAUUACUUGAAUCCUCGACAUCGUGGUUCAUCCAAUGAGAUCAUCGAGGAGCAUGUGGGAGCCAACAUGGGUAUCCAGAUCCCGCUGUUGGUUAUUGACCGAAGAGUCAUCUCGGUCAUGUCUGCGUGUCUCCCGAACCCGUAGGGUCUACACACUUAAGGUUCGGUGACGCUAGGGUUGUAGAGAUAUUAGUAUGCAGUAACCCGAAAGUUGUUCAGAGUCUCAGAUGAGAUCCGGACGUCACGAGGAGUUCCGGAAUGGUCCGGAGGUGAAGAAUUGUAUAUAGGAAGUCCAGUUUUGGCCACCGGGAAAGUUUCGGGGGUCACCGGUAUUGUACUGGGACCACCGGAAGGGUCCCGGGGGUCCACUGGGUGGGGCCACCUAUCCUGGAGGGCCCCAUGGGCUGAGGUGGGAGGGGAACCAGCCCCUGGUGGGCUGGUACACCCCCCAUGGGCCUCCCCCUGCGCCUAGGGUGAAGGAAAUAUGCCCUAGAGGCAAUAAUAAAGUUAUUAUUUAUUUCCUUAUAUCAUGAUAAAUGUUUAUUAUUCAUGCUAGAAUUGUAUUAAACGGAAACAUAAUACAUGUGUGAAUACAUAGACAAACAGAGUGUCACUAGUAUGCCUCUACUUGACUAGCUCGUUGAUCAAAGAUGGUUAUGUUUCCUAACCAUAGACAUGAGUUGUCAUUUGAUUAACGGGAUCACAUCAUUAGGAGAAUGAUGUGAUUGACUUGACCCAUUCCAUUAGCUUAGCACUUGAUCAUUUAGUUUGUUGCUAUUGCUUUCUUCAUAACUUAUACAUGUUCCUAUGACUAUGAGAUUAUGCAACUCCCGUUUACCGGAGGAACACUUUGUGUGCUACCAAACGUCACAACGUAACUGGGUGAUUAUAAAGGUGCUCUACAGGUGUCUCUGAAGGUACUUGUUGGGUUGGCGUAUUUUAAGAUUAGGAUUUGUCACUCCGAUUGUCGGAGAGGUAUCUCUGGGCCCUCUCGGUAAUGCACAUCACUCAAGCCUUUCAAGCAUUGCAACUAAUAAGUUAGUUGCGGGAUGAUGUAUUACGGAACGAGUAAAGAGACUUGCCGGUAACGAGAUUGAACUAGGUAUUAAGAUACCGACGAUCGAAUCUCGGGCAAGUAACAUACCGAUGACAAAGGGAACAACGUAUGUUGUUAUGCGGUCUAACCGAUAAAGAUCUUCGUAGAACAUGUAGGAGCCAAUAUGAGCAUCCAGGUUCCACUAUUGGUUAUUGACCGGAGACGUGUCUCGGUCAUGUCUACAUAGUUCUCGAACCCGUAGGGUCCGCACGCUUAAAGUUCGGUGACGAUCGUAAUUAGGGUUUUUGUGUUUUGAUGUACCGAAGGUUUUUAGAAGUCCCGGAUGUGAUCACGGACAUGACGAGGAGUCUUGAAAUGGUCGAGACAUAAAGAUUGAUAUAUUUGAAGCCUAUAUUUGGAUAUCGGAAACGUUCCGGGUGAAAUCGGGAUUUUACCGGAGUACCGGGGGGUUACCUGAACCCUCCCCCCCCCUCGGGGGGGGGGGAGUAUUGGGCCUACAUGGGCCAUAAGGGUGAAGAGGAGGGCCGACCAGGGCAGGCCGCGUGCCCCCUCCCCCCUAGUCCGAAUAGGACAAGGAAGGGGGGCGCCCCCCUUUCCUCUUUCUCCCUUCCGCCUUCCUUUUCCAACAAGGCAAGAGGUGGGAGUCCUACUCCCGGUGGGAGUAGGACUCCUCCAGGCGCACCCCUAGGGCCGGCCGCACCUCCCCCUCUCCCUCCUUUAUAUACGGGGGCAAGGGGCCACCCCAUGACACACAAGUUGAUCUUCGUGAUCGUUCCUUAGCCGUGUGUGGUGCCCCCUUCCACCAUAUUCCACCUCGGUCAUAUCGUAGCGGUGCUUAGGCGAAGCCUUGCGUCGGUAGAACAUCAUCACCGUCAUCACGCCGUCGUGCUGACGAAACUCUCCCUCAACGUUUUGCUGGAUCGGAGCUCGAGGGACGUCACCGAGUUGAACGUGUGCAGAACUCGGAGGUGCCGUAUGUUCGGUACUUGGAUCGGUCGGAUCGGGAAGACGUACGACUACUUCCUCUACAUUGUGUCAACGCUUCCGUUGCCGGUCUACAAGGGUACAUAGACAACACUCUCCCCUCUCGUUGCUAUGCAUCACCAUGAUCUUGCGUGUGCGUAGGAAAAUUUUGAAAUUACUACAUUCCCCAACAUUGGCAUCCGAGCCUAGGUUUUAUGCGUUGAUGUUGUGCACGAGUAGAACACAAGUGAGUUGUGGGCGAUAUAAGUCAUACUGCUUACCAGCAUGUCACACUUUGGUUCGGUGGUAUUGUUGGAUGAAGCGGCCCAGACCGACAUUACACGUACGCUUACGCGAGACUGGUUCUACCGACGUGCUUUGCACACAGGUGGCUGGCGGGUGUCAGUUUCUCCAACUUUAGUUGAACCGAGUGUGGCUAUGCCCGGUCCUUGCGAAGGUUAAAACAUCACCAACUUGACAAACUAUCAUUGUGGUUUUGAUGCGUAGGUAAGAACGGUUCUUGCUCAGCCCGUAGCAGCCACGUAAAACUUGCAACAACAAAGUAGAGGACGUCUAACUUGUUUUUGCAAGGCAUGUUGUGAUGUGAUAUGGUGAAGACAUGAUGCUAAAUUUUAUUGUAUGAGAUGAUCAUGUUUUGUAACCGAGUUAUCGGCAACUAGCAGGAGCCAUAUGGUUGUCGCUUUAUUGUAUGCAAUGCAAUUGCGCUGUAAUGCUUUACUUUACCACUAAGCGGUAGCGAUAGUCGUGGAAGCAUAAGAUUGGCGAGACGACAACGAUGCUACAAUGGUGAUCAAGGUGUCGCGCCGGUGACGAUGGUGAUCAUGACGGUGCUUCGGAGAUGGAGAUCACAAGCACAAGAUGAUGAUGGCCAUAUCAUAUCAUUUAUAUUAAUUGCAUGUGAUGUUUAUCUUUUGUGCAUCUUAUCUUGCUUUGUUUGACGGCAGCAUUAUAAGAUGAUCUCUCACUAAAUUUCAAGAUAAAAGUGUUCUCCCUGAGUAUGCACCGUUGCCAAAGUUCGUCGUGCCCAGACACCACGUGAUGAUCGGGUGUGAUAAGCUCUACGUCCAUCUACAACGGGUGCAAGCCAGUUUUGCACACGCAGAAUACUCAGGUUAAACUUGACGAGCCUAGCAUAUGCAGAUAUGGCCUCGGAACACUGAGACCGAAAGGUCGAGCGUGAAUCAUAUAGUAGAUAUGAUCAACAUAAUGAUGUUCACCAUUGAAAGCUAUUCCAUUUCACGUGAUGAUCGGUUAUGGUUUAGUUGAUUUGGAUCACGUGAUCACUUAGAUGAUUAGAUGGAUGUCUAUCUAAGUGGGAGUUCUUAAGUAAUAUGAUUAAUUGAACUUUAAUUUAUAAUGAACUUAGUCCUGGUAGUAUUAGCAUAUCUGUGUUGUAGAUCAAUAGCCCGCGAUGUUGCUCCCCAUUUAAUUUUUAUAUGUUCCUAGAGAAAACUAAGUUGAAAAAUGUUAGUAGCAAUGAUGCGGAUUGGAUCCGUGAUCUGAGGAUUAUCCUCAUUGCUGCACAGAAGAAUUAUGUCCUUGAUGCACCGCUAGGUGACUAACCUAUUGCAGGAGCAGAUGCAAACGUUAUGAACGUUUGGCUAGCUCAAUAUGAUGACUACUUGAUAGUUUAGUGCACCAUGCUUAACGGCUUAGAAUUGGGGCUUCAAAGACGUUUUGAACGCCAUGGAGCAUAUAAGAUGUUCCAAGAGUUGAAAUUGGUAUUUCAUACUCAUGCCCGUGUCAAGAGGUAUGAGACCUCUGAUAGUACUUUGCCUACAAGAUGGAGGAGAAUAGCUCAACCAGUGAGCAUGUGCUCAGAUUGUCUGAGUACUACAAUUGCUUGAAUCAAGUGGGAGUUAAUCUUCCAGAUAAGAGAGUAAUUGACAAAGUUCUCUAGUCACUAUCACCGAGUUACUAGAACUUAGUGAUGAACUAUAAUAUGCAAGGGAUGAAAAAAGUAAUUCCCAACCGCUUCGUGAUGCUGAAAUCGACGAAGGUAGAAAUCAAGAAAAGCAUCAAGUGUUGAUGGUUGACAAAGACCACUAGUUUCAAAAAGGGCAAAGGGAAGAAAGGGAACUUCAAGAAGAACGGCAAGCAAGUUGUUGCUCAAGUGAAGAAGCCCAAGUCUGGACCUAAGCCUGAACUGAGUGCUUCUACUGCAAAGGGACUGGUCACUAGAAGCGGAACUGCCCCAAGUAUUUGGCGGAUAAGAAGGAUGGCGAGGUGAACAAAGGUAUAUUGGAUAUACAUGUUAUUAAUGUGUACUUUACUAGUGUUUAUAGCAAGCCCUCGAUAUUUGAUACUAGUUCAGUUGCUAAGAGUAGUAACUUAAAAUAAGAGUUGCAGAAUGAACAGAGACUAGUUAAGGGUGAAGUGACGAUGUGUGUUGGAAAUAGUUCCAAGAAUGAUAUGAUCAUCAUCGCACACUCCCUAUACUUUCGGGAUUAGUGUUGAACCUAAAUAAGUGUUAUUUGGUGUUUGCGUUGAGCAUGAAUAUGAUUUGAUCAUGUUUAUUGCAAUACGGUUAUUCAUUUAAGUUAAGAAUAAUUGUUAUUCUGUUUACAUGAAUAAAACCUUCUAUGGUUAUACACCCAAUGAAAAUGGUUUGUUGAAUCUCGAUCGUAGUGAUACACAUAUUCAUAAUAUUGAAGCCAAAAGAUGCAAAGUUAAUAAUGAUAAUGCAACUUAUUUGUGGCACUGUCGUUUAGGUCAUAUUGGUGUAAAGCGCAUGAAGAAAAUCCAUGCUGAUGGGCUUUUGGAAUCACUUGAUUAUGAAUCAGUUGAUGCUUGCGAACCAUGCCUCAUGGGCAAAGAUGACUAAGACUCCGUUCUCUAGAACAAUGGAGCGAGCAACUGACUUAUUAGAUAUAAUACAUACUGAUGUCUGAGGUCCGAUGAGUGUUGAGGCUCGCGGCGGGUAUCGUUAUUUUCUGACCUUCACAGAUGAUUUGAGCAGAUAUGGGUAUAUCUACUUAAAGAAACAUAAGUCUGAAACAUUUGAAAAGUUCAAAGAAUUUCAGAGUGAAGUAGAAAAUCAACGUAACAAGAAAAUAAAGUUUCUACGAUCUGAUCGCAGAGGCGAAUAUUUGAGUUACGAGUUUGGUCUUCAAUUAAAACAAUGUGGAAUAGUUUCACAAACUCAUGCCACCUGGAACACCACGGCGUAAUGGUGUGUCCGAACGUCAUAACCGUACUUUAUUUGAUAUAGUGCAAUCUAUGAUGUCUCUUACCGAUUUACCACUAUCAUUUUGGGGUUAUGCAUUCGAGACAACUACAUUCACGUUAAAUAGGGCACCAUCGAAAUCUGUUGAGAUGACGCCUUAUGAACUGUGGUUUGGCAAGAAACCAAAGUUGCCAUUUCUUAAAGUUUGGGGCGGCGAUGCUUAUGUGAAAAAGUUUCAAACUGAUAAGCUUGAACCCAAAUCGGAGAAGUGCAUCUUCAUAGGAUACCCAAAUGAAAUUGUUGGGUACACCUUCUAUCACAGAUCCAAAGGCAAAUUUGUUGCUGAGAAUAGAUCCUUUCUAGGGAAGGAGCUUCUCUCGAAAGAAGUGAGUGGGAGGAAAGUAGAACUUGAUGAGGUAACUGUACCUGCUCCCUUAUUGGAAAGUAGUUCAUCACAGAAAUCUGUUCCUGUGACUACUACACCAAUUAGUGAGGAAGCUAAUGAUGAUGAUCAUGUAACUUCAGAUCAAGUUACUACCGGACCUCAUAGGUAAACCAGAGUGAGAUCCGCACUAGAGUGGUACGGUAAUCCUGUUCUGGAGGUCAUGACCAUGACGAAACUACGACCUAUGAGGAAGGGAUGAUGAGCCCAGAUUCCGUGAAAUGUCUUGAGGCCAUAAAAUCUGAGAUAGGAUCCAUGUAUGAGAACAAAGUGUGGACUUUGGUUGACUUGCCCGAUGAUCAGCAAGCCAUAGAAAAUAAAUGGAUCUUCAAGAGGAAGACGGACGCUGAUAGUAGUGUUACUAUCUACAAAGCUAGAAUUGUCGCAAAAAGGUUUCCGACAAGUUCAAGGUGUUGACCACGAUGAGAGUUUCUCACUCGUAUCUAUGCUUAAGUCUGUCCGAAUCAUGUUAGCAAUUGCCGCAUUUUAUGAAAUCUGGCAAAUGGAUAAACAAAACUGCAUUCCUUAAUGGAUUUAUUAAAGAAGAGUUGUAUAUGAUGCAACCAGAAGGUUUUGUCAAUCCUAAAGGUACUAACAAAAUAUGCAAGCUCCAGCGAUCCAUCUAUGGACUGGUGCAAGCAUCUCGGAGUUGGAAUAUACGCUUUGAUAAGUUGAUCAAAGCAUAUAGUUUUAUACAGACUUGCGGUAAAGCUUGUAUUUACAAGAAAGUGAGUGGGAGCACUACAACAUUUCUGAUAAGUAUAUGUGAAUGACAUAUUGUUGAUCGGAGAUAGUGUAGAAUUAUUCUGCAAAGCAUAAAGGAAUGUUUGAAAGGAGUUUUUCAAAGAAAGACCUCGGUGAAGCUGCUUACAUAUUGAGCAUCAAGAUCUAUAGAGAUAGAUCAAGACACUUGAUAAGUUUUUCAAUGAGUACAUACCUUGACAAGAUUUUGAAGUAGUUCAAAAUGGAACAGUCAAAGAAGGAGUUCUUGCCUGUGUUACAAGGUGUGAAGUUGAGUAAGACUCAAAAACCCGACCACGGCAGAAGAUAGAGAGAAAAUGAAAGUCAUUCCCUAUGCCUCAGCCAUAGGUUCUGUAAAGUAUGUCAUGCUGUGUACCAGACCUAUUGUAUACCCUGCCCUGAGUUUGGCAAGGGAGUACAAUAGUGAUCUAGGAGUAGAUCACUAGACAGUGGUCAAAAUUAUCCUUAGCGGAAUAAGGAUAUGUUUCUCGAUUAUGGAGGUGAAAAAAAGGUUCGUCGUAAAGGGUUAUGUCGAUGCAAAUUUUGACACUGAUCCAGAUGACUCUAAAUCUCAAUCUGGAUACAUAUUGAAAGUGGGAGCAAUUAGCUAGAGUAGCUUCGUGCAGAGCAUUGUUGACAUAGAAAUUUGCAAAAUACUUACGGAUCUGAAUGUGGCAGACCCAUUGACUAAACUUCUCUCACAAGCAAAACAUGAUCACACCUUAGUACUCUUUGGGUGUUAAUCACAUAGCGAUGUGAACUAGAUUAUUGACUCUAGUAAACCCUUUGGGUGUCAGUCACAUGUCGAUGUGAACUAUGGGUGUUAAUCACAUGGUGAUGUGAACUAUUGGUAUUAAAUCACAUGGCGAUGUGAACUAGAUUAUUGACUCUAGUGCAAGUGGGAGACUGAAGGAAAUAUGCCCUAGAGGCAAUAAUAAAUUUAUUAUUUAUUUACUUAUAUCAUGAUAAAUGUUUAUUAUUCAUGCUAGAAUUGUAUUAACCGGAAACAUAAUACAUGUGUGAAUACAUAGACAAACAGAGUGUCACUAGUAUGCCUCUACUUGACUAGCUCGUUGAUCAAAGAUGGUUAUGUUUCCUAACCAUAGACAUGAGUUGUCAUUUGAUUAACUGGAUCACAUCAUUAGGAGAAUGAUGUGAUUGACUUGACCCAUUCCAUUAGCUUAGCACUUGAUCGUUUAGUUUGUUGCUAUUGCUUUCUUCAUAACUUAUACAUGUUCAUAUGACUAUGAGAUUAUGCAACUCCCGUUUACCGGAGGAACACUUUGUGUGCUACCAAAUGUCACAACGUAACUGGGUGAUUAUAAAGGUGCUCUACAGGUGUCUCUGAAGGUACUUGUUGGGUUGGCGUAUUUUAAGAUUAGGAUUUGUCACUCCGAUUGUCGGAGAGGUAUCUCUGGGCCCUCUCGGUAAUGCACAUCACUCAAGCCUUGCAAGCAUUGCAACUAAUAAGUUAGUUGCGGGAUGAUGUAUUAUGGAACGAGUAAAGAGACUUGCCGGUAACGAGAUUGAACUAGGUAUUAAGAUACCGACGAUCGAAUCUUGGGCAAGUAACAUACCGAUGACAAAGGGAACAACGUAUGUUGUUAUACGGUCUGACCGAUAAAGAUCUUCGUAGAAUAUGUAGAAGCCAAUAUGAGCAUCCAGGUUCCGUUAUUGGUUAUUGACCGGAGACGUGUCUCGGUCAUGUCUACAUAGUUCUCGAACCCGUAGGGUCCGCACGCUUAAAGUUCGGUGAUGAUCGUAAUUAGGGUUUUUGUGUUUUGAUGUAUCGAAGGUUGUUCGGAGUCCCGGAUGUGAUCACGGACAUGACGAGGAGUCUCGAAAUGGUCGAGGCAUAAAGAUUGAUAUAUUGGAAGCCUAUAUUUGGAUAUCGGAAAUGUUCCGGGUGAAAUCGGGAUUUUACCGGAGUACCGGGGGGUUACCGGAACCCCCCGGGGGUUUAUUGGGCCUACAUGGGCCAUAAGGGUGAAGAGGAGGGCCGGCCAGGGCAGGCCGCCCCCCUAGUCCGAAUAGGACAAGGAAGGGGGGGCGGCGCCCCCCUUUCCUCUUUCUCCCUUCCCCCUUCCUUUUCCAACAAGGCAAGAGUAGGACUCCUCCAGGCGCACCCCUAGGGCCAGCCGCACCUCCCCCUCUCCCUCCUUUAUAUACGGGGGCAAGGGGGCACCCCAUGACACACAAGUUGAUCUUCGUGAUUGUUCCUUAGCCAUGUGCGGUGCCCCCUUCCACCAUAUUCCACCUCGGUCAUAUCGUAGCGGUGCUUAGGCGAAGCCCUGCGUCGGUAGAACAUCAUCACCGUCAUCACACCAUCGUGCUGACGAAACUCUCCCUCAAUGUUUUGCUGGAUCGAAGCUCGAGGGACGUCACCGAGUUGAACGUGUGCAGAACUCGGAGGUGCCGUAUGUUCGGUACUUGGAUCGGUCGGAUCGGGAAGAUGUACGACUACUUCCUCUACGUUGUGUCAACGCUUCCGUUGCCGGUCUACGAGGGUACGUAGACAACACUCUCCCCUCUUGUUGCUAUGCAUCACCAUGAUCUUGCGUGUGCGUAGGAAAAUUUUGAAAUUACUACGUUCCCCAACAUAGGGUUGGAAACCCUAGGGGUGGGGGCGCCCCACCUGACUUGGGGGGCAAGUCCCCCCUUGGCCGCCGCCCCCUUGGAGAUGGGAUCUCCUAGGGACGGCGCCCCCCUAGGGGCCCUAUAUAUAGUGGGGGGAGGGAGGGCAGCCGCACCCAAGUCCCUGGCGCCUCCCUCUCCCCUCGUAACACCACUCCCUCUCGUUGGAGCUUGGCGAAGCCCUGCCGAGAUCACCGCUGCUUCCACCACCACGCCGUCGUGCUGCUGGAUCUCCAUCAACCUCUCCUUCCCCUUGCUGGAUAAAGAAGGAGGAGACGUCUUCCCCAACCGUACGUGUGUUGAACGCGGAGGUGCCGUCCGUUCGGCACUAGGAUCUUCGGUGAUUUGGAUCACGACGAGUACGACUCCCUCAACCCUGUUCUCUUGAACACUUCUGCUCGCGAUCUACAAGGGUAUGUAGAUGCACUCCUCUCCCUCGUUGCUAGAUGACUCCAUAGACUGAUCUUGGUGAUGCGUAGAAAAUUUUAAAAUUCUGCUAUGUUCCCCAACAAUUUCCUUUGCUUUUACUUUGCUUUUAUUUUACUUUGCAUCUUUAUCAUAAAAAUACCAAAAAUAUUGUCUUAUCAUAUCUAUCAGAUCUCACUCUCAUAAGUGGCCGUGUAGGGAUUGACAACCCCUUAUCGCGUUGGUUGCGAGGAUUUAUUUGUUUUGUGCGGGUAUGAGGGACUGGCGCGUAGCCUCCUACUGGAUUGAUACCUUGGUUCUCAAAAACUGAGGGGAAUACUUACGCUACUUUGUUGCAUCAUCCCUUCCUCUUCGGGGAAAACCAACAAAGUGCUCAAGAGGUAGCAAGAAGGAUUUCUAGCGCCGUUGUUGGGGAGGUCUACGCAAAAGUCAAUAUACCAAGUACCCAUCACAUACCCUUAUCUCCCGCAUUACAUUUUUUGCCAUUUGCCUCUCGUUUUCCUCUCCCCCACUUCACCCUUGCCGUUUUAUUCGCCCUCUCUCUCUAUCCUCCCUCUCUUACUCUAUUUGCCUCUUUUUUCCCGCUUACUUUUUGGGACAAUGAAAGUAUACCGCUCAAAAUAUUAUUCGUCUCUAUUUCAAAAUCGAGCUCUGGCACCUCUACAAAUCCCUGCUUCCUGAUACGUCUCCAACGUAUCUAUAAUUUUUUAUUGUCCCAUGCUAUUAUAUUAUCUGUUUUGGGUGUUUAUGGGCUGUAUUAUGCACUUUUAUAUUAUUUUUGGGACUAACCUAUUAACCCAAAGCCCAGUGCCAGUUUCUGUUUUUCCUUGUUUUAGAGUAUCGCAGAAAAGGAAAAUCAAACGGAGUCCAAUUGACCUGAAACUUCACGGAACUCAUUUUUGGACCAGAAGAAGCCCACGGAGUAUCAGAGUUGGGCCAGGAGAGUCCCGGGCAGCCCACGAGGGUAGGGGCACGCCCCCCUGCCUCGUGGACAGCCCGGAGGUCCACCGACGUACUUCUUCCUCCCAUAUAUACCCAUAUCCCUAAAAACUUCGGGGAUCAGAAUAGAUCGGGAGUUCCGCCGCCAGAAGCCUCCAUAGCCACCGAAAACUAAUCUAGACCCGUUCCGGCACCCUGUCGGAGGGGGCAAUCCCUCUCCGGUGGCCAUCUUCAUCAUCCCGGCGCUUUCCAUGACGAGGAGGGAGUAGUUCUCCCUUGGGGCUGAGGGUAUGUACCAGUAGCUAUGUGUUUGAUCUCUCUCUCUCGUGUUCUUGAGGUGGCACGAUCUUGAUGUAUCGCGAGCUUUGCUAUUAUAGUUGGAUUUUAUGAUGUUUCUCCCCCUCUACUCUCUUGUAAUGGAUUGAAUUUUCCCUUUGAAGUUAUCUUAUCGGAUUGAGUCUUUAAGGAUUUGAGAACACUUGAUGUAUGUCUUGCGUGGGAUACCCGUGGUGACAAUGGGGUAUUCUAUUGAUCCACUUGAUGUAUGUUUUGGUGAUCAACUUGCGGGUUCCGCCAAUGAACCUAUGCAUAGGGGUUGGCACAUGUUUUCGUCUUGACUCUCCGGUAGAAACUUUGGGGCACUCUUUGAGGUUCUAUGUGUUGUUUGAAUAGACGAAUCUGAGAUUGUGUGAUGCAUAUCGUAUAAUCAUACCCACGGAUACUUGAGGUGACAUUGGAGUAUCUAGGUGACUGAUGUCUACUACACAACCUUCUUCUUGUAGACUUUGUUGGGCCUCCAAGUGCAGAGGUUUGUAGGACAGCAGCAAAUUUCCCUCAAGUGGAUGACCUAACGUUUAUCAAUUCGUAGGAGGCGUAGGAUGAAGAUGGUCUCUCUCAAGCAACCCUGCAACCAAAUAACAAAGAGUUUCUUGUGUCCCCAACACACCCAAUACAAUGGUAAAUUGUAUAGGUGCACUAGUUCGGCGAAGAGAUGGUGAUACAAGUGCAAUAUGGAUAGUAGAUAAAGGUAUUUGUAAUCUGAAAUUAUAAAAACAGCAAGGUAACUAAUGGUAAAAGUGAGCGUAAACGGUAUUGCAAUGCGUGGAAAUAAGGCCUAGGGUUCAUACUUUCACUAGUAUAAGUCCUCUCAACAAUAAUAACAUAAUUGGAUCAUAUAACUAUCCCUCAACAUGCAACAAAGAGUCACUCCAAAGUCACUAAUAGCGGAGAACGAACGAAGAGAUUAUGGUAGGGUACGAAACCAUGUGAAAGUUAUUCUUUCCAAUCAAUCCGUUGGGCUAUUCCUAUAAGUGUCACAAACAGACCUAGAGUUCGUACUAGAAUAACACCUUAAGACACAAAUCAACCAAAACCCUAAUGUCACCUAGAUACUCCAAUGUCACCUCAAGUAUCUGUGGCUAUGAUUAUACGAUAUGCAUCACACACUCUCAGAUUCAUCUAUUCAACCAACACAUAGGACCUCAAAGAGUGCCCCAAAGUUCUACCGGAGAAUCACGACAAAAACGUGUGCCAACCCCUAUGCAUAGGUUCAUGGGCGGAACCCGCAAGUUGAUCACCAAAACAUACAUCAAGUGAAUCACGUGGUAUCCCAUUGUCACCACAGAUACGCACGGCAAGACAUACAUCAAGUGUUCUCAAAUCUUUAAAGACUCAAUCCGAUAAGAUAACUUCAAAGGGGAAACUCAAUCCAUUACAAGAGAGUAGAGGGGGGAAGAAACAUCAUAGGAUCCAAAUAUAAUAGCAAAGCUCGCGAUACAUCAAGAUCAUAUCACCUCAAGAACACGAGAGAGAGAGAGAGAGAGAGAGAGAGAGAGAGAGAGAUCAAACACAUAGCUACUGGUACAUACCCUCAGCCCCGAGGGAGAACUACUCCCUCCUCGUCAUGGAGAGCACCGGGAUGAUGAAGAUGGCCACCAGAGAGGGAUUCCCCCUCCGGCAGGGUGCCGGAACGGGUCUAGAUUGGCUUUCGGUGGCUACGGAGGCUUCUGGCGGCGGAACUCCCGGUCUAUUGUGCUCUUCGAUGCUUUUAGGGUAUAUGGAGAUAUAUAGGCGGAUGAAGUACGUCAGGGGGCCACGAGGGGCCCACGAGGGUGGAGGGCGUGCCCGGGGGGUGGGCGCGCUCCCUGCCUCGUGACCUCCUCGCGGAUCCCCCGACGUGCACUCCAAGUCUUCUGGGCUUCUUUCCUUCCAAAAAUGAGUUCCGUGAAGUUUCAGGUCAAUUGGACUCCGUUUGAUUUUCCUUUUCUUCGAAACCCUAAAACAGGGUAAAAACAAAAACUGGCACUGGGCUCUGGGUUAAUAGGUUAGUCCCAAAAAUGAUAUAAAAGUGUAUAAUGAAGCCCAUAAACAUUCAAAACAGUAGAUAAUAUAGCAUGGAGCAAUCAAAAAUUAUAGAUACGUUGGAGAUGUAUCAGUGACAUUAGGGUUUUGGUUGAUUUGUGUCUUAAGGUGUUAUUCUAGUACGAACUCUAGGGCUGUUUGUGACACUUAUAGGAAUAGCCCAACGGAUUGAUUGGAAAGAAUAACUUUGAGGUGGUUUCGUACCCUACCAUAAUCUCUUUGUUUGUUCUCCGCUAUUAGUGACUUUGGAGUGACUCUUUGUUGCAUGUUGAGGGAUGGUUAUAUGAUCCAAUUAUGUUAUUAUUGUUGAGAGGACUUGCACUAGUGAAAGUAUGAACCCUAGGCCUUGUUCAACGCAUUGCAAUACCGUUUGUGCGCACUUUUAUCAUUAGUUACCUUGCUGUUUUUAUAUUUUCAGAUUACAAAAACAUAUAUCUACCAUCCAUAUUGCACUUGUAUCACCAUCUCUUCGUCGAACUAGUGAUGUGCACCUAUACAAUUUACCAUUGUAUUGGGUGUGUUGGGGACACAAGAGACUCUCCGUUAUUUGGUUGCAAGGUUGUUUGAGAGAGACCAUCUUCAUCCUACGCCUCCUACGGAUUGAUAAACCUUAGGUCAUCCACUUGAGGGAAAUUUGCUACUGUCCUACAGACCUCUGCACUUGGAGGCCCAACAAUGUCUACAAGAAGAAGGUUGUGUAGUAGACAUCAAGCUCUUUUUUGGCACCGUUGCCGGGGAGUUGAGUGCUUGAAGGUAUAUCUUUAGAUCUUGCAAUCGAAUCUUUUUGUUUCUUGUUUUAUCACUAGUUUAGUUUAUAAAAGAAAAUCAAAAAAAUAUGGAAUUGAGUUUGCCUCAUACGCUUCAUCUUUUUAAUAUCUUUCGUGACAAUGAUGGAAAGGAAAAUUGUGCUCAAGUGCUAGAAGAAGAAGUCUAUAAAAUGUUUGGCAGUAAAUCUUUGAAUGAUGAGCAUGAUUGCAAUGUUGUUAGUAUGAAUUCUUUGAAUAUCCAUGAUGCUAAUGAUAUGCAAAGACACAAGCUUGGGGAUGCUAUGUUUGAUGAAGAUGAUAUUUUUUGUUCCCCAAGUCUUGAUGAGCAAAUUUAUUUUGAUGAUAGCAUGCCUCCUAUUUAUGAUGAUUAUAUUGAUGAAAGUGGAUUUGGAGAGGUCAUGACUUUAUUUAGUAAUGAUUCCACUAUUUCGAAAGAGGUUCCAAUUGAUUAUGAGAACAAAGCUGCUAUCUAUGAUGAUUAUUGUGAUGACAUGUAUGGUAUAAAGAAUAAUGAUAAACAUGAAACUCGUCAUCAUGAUUUUAGUUUUCAAUUGGAUUAUGCCUCACAUGAUAGUUAUUUUGUUGAGUUUGCUCCCACUAUUAUGAAUGAGAAGAAUUUUCCUUAUGUGGAGAGUAAUAAAAUUUAUAUGCUUGUAGAUCAUGAAAAGAAUGCUUUAGGUGCUGGUUAUAUUGUUGAAUUCAUUCAUGAUGCUACUGAAAAUUAUUAUGAGGGAGGAAUAUAUGCUUGUAGGAAUUGCAAUAAUAUCAAGUUUCCUCUCUAUGUGCUUAAAGUUUUGAAGUUAUACUUGUUUUACCUCCCUAUGCAAGUUGAUUCUUGUUCCCACAAGUUGUUUGCUCACAAAAUCCCUAUGCAUAGGAAGAGGGUUAGACUUAAAUGUGCUAGUCAUAUUCUUCAUCAUUCUCUCUUUAUGUUUCAAUUCUUAUCCUUUAUGUGAGCAUCAUUGAAAUCAACAUGCCUAGCUAGGGGCGUUAAACGAUAGCGCUUGUUGGGAGGCAACCCAACUUUAUUUUUGUUCCUUGCCUUUUGUUCCUGUUUAGUAAUAAAUAAUUAAUCUAGCCUCUGUUUAGAUGUGGUUUUAUGUUUUAAUUAGUGUUUGUGCCAAGUAGAACCUUUGGGAAGACUUGGGUGAAGUCUUUGCUAUCAUGCUGUAAAAAACAGAAACUUUAGCGCUCAUGAGAUUUGCUGCCAUUUUUUAUUCGAGAGUGCUAUUUAGUUAAUUAUUUUUGCAGAUGAUUAAUAGAUAAAUUCCUCACGUCCAGCAAUUUAUUUUAGAAUUUUUGAGGUUCCAGAAGUUUGUGUUAGUUACAGAUUACUACAGACUGUUCUGUUUUUGACAGAUUCUGUUUUUCGUGUGUUGUUUGCUUAUUUUGAUGAAUCUAUGGCUUGUAAAAUAGUUUAUAAACCAUAGAGAAGUUGGAAUAUAGUAGGUUUAACACCAAUAUAAAUAAAGAAUGAGUUCAUUACAGUACCUUGAAGUGGUGUUUUGUUUUCUUUCGCUAACGGAGCUUACGAGUUUUCUGUUAAGUUUUGUGUUGUGAAGUUUUCAAGUUUUGGGUAAAGAUUCGAUGGACUAUGGAAUAAGGAGUGACAAGAGCCUAAGCUUGGGGAUGCCCAAGGCACCCCAAGGCAAUAUUCAAGGACAACAUAGAGCCUAAGCUUGGGGAUGCCCCGGAAGGCAUCCCCUCUUUCGUCUUCGUUCAUCAGUAACUUUACUUGGAGCUAUAUUUUUAUUCGGCACAUGAUAUGUGUUUUGCUUGUAGCGUCAUUUUAUUUUAUUUUGUUUUUCUUGCUGUUUGAAUAAAAUACUGAGAUCUGAAAUUAUUAAAUGUUAGAGAGUCUUCACAUAGUUGCAUCAUUAUUCGACUACUCAUUGAACUUCACUAAUAUCUUUUGGAGUAGUUUGUCAUUUGCUCUAGUACUUCACUUAUAUCGUUUUAGAGCACGGUGGUGGUUUUAUUUUAUAGAAAUAGAUGAACUCUCAUGCAUCACUUAUAUUAUUUUGAGAGUCCUAAACAGCAUGGUAAUUUUCUUUGGUUAUGAAUUUAGUCCUAAUAUGAUGGGCAUCCAAGAGGGAUAUAAUAAAAACUUUCAUAUAAAGUGCAUUGAAUACUAUGAGAAUUUUGAUACUUGAUGAUUGUUUUGAGAUAUGAGGAUGGUAAUACUAGAGUCAUGCUAGUGAGUAGUUGUGAAUUUGAGAGAUACUUGUGUUAAAGUUUAUGAUUCCCGUAGCAUGCACGUAUGGUGAACCGUUAUGUGAUGAAGUCGGAGCAUGAUUUGUUUAUUGAUUGUCCUCCUUAUGAGUGGCGGUUGGGGACGAGCGAUGGUCUUUUCCUACCAAUCUAUCCCCCUAGGAGCAUGUGCAUAGUACUUUGUUUCGAUAACAAAUAGAUUUUUGCAAUAAGUAUGUGAGUUCUUUAUGACUAAUGUUGAGUCCAUGGAUUAUACGCACUCUCACCCUUCCACCAUUGCUAGCCUCUCUAGUACCACGCAACUUUCGCCGGUACCAUAUAUCUUCCUCAAAACAGCCACCAUGCCUACCUAUUAUGGCAUUUCCAUAGCCAUUCCAAGAUAUAUUGCCAUGCAACUUUCCACCGUUCCGUUAUUAUGACACGCUCCAUCAUUGUCAUAAUGCUUUGCAUGAUCAUGUAGUUGACAUCAUAUUUGUGGCAAAGCCACCGUUCAUAAUUCUUUCAUACAUGUCACUCAUGAGUCAUUGCACAUCCCGGUACACCGCCGGAGGCAUUCAUAUAGAGUCAUAUCUUGUCCUAAGUAUCGAGUUGUAAUUCUUGAGUUCUAAGAAAAUAAAAGUGUGAUGAUCAUCAUUAUUAGAGCAUUGUCCCUGUGAGGAAAGGAUGAUGGAGACUAUGAUUCCCUCACAAGUCGGGAUGAGACUCUGGAUGAAAAAAAGAGAGGCCAAAGAAGCCCAAAUAAAAAAAGAGGCCAUAAAAAGAGAAGGCCCAAAUAAAAAAAUAAAAAAAUAAAAAAAUGAGAGAAAAAGAGAGAAGAGGCGAUGCUACGAUCCUUUUACCACACUUGUGCUUCAAAGUAGCACCAUGAUCUUCAUGAUAGAGAGUCUCCUAUGUUGUCACUUUCAUAUACUAGUGGGAAUCUUUCAUUAUAGAACUUGGCUUGUAUAUUCCAAUGAUGGGCUUCCUCAAAAUUCCCUAGGUCUUCGUGAGCAAGCAAGUUGGAUGCACACCCACUUAGUUUCUUUUUGAGCUUUCAUACACUUAUAGCUCUAGUGCAUCCGUUGCAUGGCAAUCCCUACUCACUCACAUUGAUAUCUAUUGAUGGGCAUCUCCAUAGCCCGUUGAUACGCCUAGCUGAUGUGAGACUAUCUUCUCCCUUUUUGUCCUCUCCACAACCACCCUUCUAUUCCACAUAUAGUGCUAUAUCCAUGGCUCACGCUCAUGUAUUGCAUGAAGAUUGAAAAGGUUUGAGAACAUCAAAACUAUGAAACAAUUGCUUGGCUUGUCAUGAGGGUUGUGCAUGAUUUAAAUACUUUGUGUGGUGAAGAUGGAGCAUAGCCAGACUAUAUGAUUCUAUAGGGAUAGCUUUCUUUGGCCAUGUUAUUUUGAGAAGACAUGAUUGCUUAGUUAGUAUGCUUGAAGUAUUAUUAUUUUUAUGUCAAUAUAAAACUUUUGUCUUGAAUCUUAUGGAUCUGAACAUUCAUGCCAAAAUGAAGAGAAUUACUUAGAGAAAUAUGUUAGGUAGCAUUCCACAUCAAAAAUUCUGUUUUAUCAUUUACCUACUCGAGGAUGAGCAGCAAUUAUGAUGUUUCUCCCCCUCUACUCUCUUGAAAUGGAUUGAGUUUUCCCUUUGAAGUUAUCUUAUCAGAUUGAGUCUUUAAGGAUUUGAGAACACUUGAUGUAUGCCUUGCCUGGGAUACCCGUGGUGACAAUGGGGUAUUCUAUUGAUCCACUUGAUGUAUGUUUUGGUGAUCAACUUGCGGGUUCCGCCCAUGAACCUAUGCAUAGGGGUUGGCACACGUUUUCGUCUUGACUCUUCGGUAGAAACUUUGGGGCACUCUUUGAGGUUCUAUGUGUUGGUUGAAUAGAUGAAUCUAAGAUUGUGUGAUGAAUAUCGUAUAAUCAUACCCACGGAUACUUGAGGUGACAUUGGAGUAUCUAGGUGACAUUAGGGUUUUGGUUGAUUUGUGUCUUAAGGUGUUAUUCUAGUACGAACUCUAGGGCUGUUUGUGACACUUAUAGGAAUAGCCCAACGGAUUGAUUGGAAAGAAUAAUUUUGAGGUGGUUUCGUACCCUACCAUAAUCUCUUCGUUUGUUCUCCGCUAUUAGUGACUUUGGAGUGACUCUUUGUUGCAUGUUGAGGGAUAGUUAUAUGAUCCAAUUAUGUUAUUAUUGUUGAGAGGACUUGCACUAGUGAAAGUAUGAACCCUAGGCCUUGUUUCAACGCAUUGCAAUACCGUUUGUGCUCACUUUUAUCAUUAGUUACCUUGUUGUUUUUAUAUUUUCAGAUUACAAAAACAUAUAUCUACCAUCCAUAUUGCACUUGUAUCACCAUCUCUUCGCCGAACUAGUGCACCUAUACAAUUUAUCAUUGUAUUGGGUGUGUUGGGGACACAAGAGACUCUCUGUUAUUUGGUUGCAGGGUUGUUUGAGAGAGACCAUCUUCAUCCUACGCCUCCUACGGAUUGAUAAACCUUAGGUCAUCCACUUGAGGGAAAUUUGCUACUGUCCUACAAACCUCUGCACUUGGAGGCCCAACAACGUCUACAAGAAGAAGGUUGUGUAGUAGACAUCAAGCUCUUUUCUGGCGCCGUUGCCGGGGAGGUGAGUGCUUGAAGGUAUAUCUUUAGAUCUUGCAAUCAAAUCUUUUUUUUUCUUGUUUUAUCACUAGUUUAGUUUAUAAAAUAAAAUCAAAAAAUGGAAAUGAGUUUGCCUCAUACGCUUCAUCUUUUUAAUAUCUUUCGUGAGAAUGAUGGAAAGGAAAAUUGUGCUCAAGUGCUAGUAGAAGAAGUCUAUAAAAUGUUUGGCACUAAAUCUUUGAAUGAUGAGCAUGAUUGCAAUGUUGUUAGUAUGAAUUCUUUGAAUAUCCAUGAUGCUAAUGAUAUGCUCACUACAAUAGCUUAGUUGGCUAUGUUUAGUAUAAUAUAUUUAAGGUUUAGUUAUUUAUUAGUAGUUCCGAUGAUUAUGUUUCUGAUGCUUAUGUUCACUGUAAUAUAUAUAUAAGUGUGUGUGUGUGUGUAUGGGCAGCAGCUUAGUUGGCGGUGGAGAAGCUCAUAGUUUAGUUAUUUAUUAGUACCGAAGCUCACUGCAACAUGUUCUGUAGGCAUGUGCUGUUAGUUGAUUGAGGCAAUGUAGAUGCUAAUUUUUAAUUGAGGCAGUAUAGGUUGCAGUUGAAGUAGCAUUGUUUAGUUGGCCACAUGUAUAGGUUGUAGUUCUUAUGUUGUUAGUUGAUUUUUUAAAAGUGCCCUUUCAUAAUGGUAAUUCUUCAGAGAGUAACAAUAUAAGUGUUCGCUAUAUUGCAGGAAGCUGUCAAUUUUGGUUUCCUUGCUUGGGUUGACCCAGAGUGGCCCCCCACAAUGCAAAAUGCAUUGUUGAAGCUUUGGGAAAUGUUUAAAGACAGCAAGACUGCUAGGAGGAAGGAUAACCCAUAAAGUUCACUUACUAUCCACCACCUUAAAGAAGAGAAAAGGAAUCUGGAUGCCAACUAUGACAAACUAGUUGAAGAUGUCCAUCGGCUUCUCAGUGCCCAGGAGGACAGGGUGUUGGAUUUAAGCUAUGUGCAGGCUAAGGAGAAGAGAGCUGACAUUGCCACUGCAUCAGUUGUGGCUGCCAUGAAGAAUGAGAUGGAGAAGAAAGAGGCAGAGAACUUCAAGAUGCAAGAGAAGUACAAAGUGUUGAUGAACCUGGUAGAGGCUCAAGACAGUGUCAUUAGGAACCUGAAGACGAAUCAUUUGAAAGAGAAGGAAAAGCUAGCUGAAGGCAACAACAAUUUAAAGAUUCAGGUUGAUGAGCUCACCCAGUCUGUCAAAGAACUAACAGAAGAGAAUGUGAAGUUCAAGAAGGGGGCUCGAGAAGAGCAAAGAGAAGCUGAAGUUGAUCCAUGACAUCUUGAAGGAAUGAGGUAGAUGAAGAUGAUAUGGGUAGAUGAAGCAGAGCAUACCUAUCAUGAUAUAAGUUGCUUUGAUAAAAGGCUUUGCUAAUCUUUUGUGAAGGGUGGUUUAGUUAAGUGUAAUGUAUGGAUCUAGUAGUUGUGAACAAUGUUGAACUCCACUAUGCUAUGGUCUUUAGCUAAUGUUGUAAGAAUCUAGUAAUUAUGGUCGUGAGAAUCUAUGAUUAUGUUGAACUCCAGUAUGCUAUGUUAUUUAGCUAAUGCUCAAGUUAUAUUUGGUUUGUUCAAAAGUGCCAAAUGAGCAUUGAGUUGUUUCACAAAUGCCAAAUGAACAACACAAAAAGCAUUGAGUUGUUCACAAGUGCCAAAUGACCAAAUAUUGCAGAUAUUGCAGGCAUAAUAUGUUGAUAGGAGCAUGAUAUGUCCACAAAUGACCAGAGAAUACAUGGUUUGUAGCACAAAUAACUUAGUUCACAUCAGACUCAACUUAGUACUCCAUUAGAACAUACAUCAGUUUUGUAGCACAACUAACUUAGUUCACAUCUUCUGGUACUCCAUCAGACCAAAAUAGCAACAUUCUCUCACUCAAGUGUUGCCACUGGCAGUAAAGAAUGACAUUGAGCGAGUAUAAUUCCCUGGGACACUUGAAGGAGCACCAGAAGUAGAAGGACCAGAAGAUGAAGCUCCUGCAGCAAAUCUUGGGGCAGUGAAAGGCCUUGCAAAUCUUGCACUUGCACUAGCUGACACUCUAGCAGAUCUUGAAGUAGAUCUUGCAGUAGCAGAUCUAGCAGUAGCAGAUCUUGCACUAGCAGAUCUUGCAGUAGCAGAUCUUGCACUAGCAGAUUAUGUUGGUGGCUGUUGUGAUCCUGAUGGAGUAUCUUCAUUCCUUGAUCUUGCAGGUGCCUAAACAUACAAGGAACCAUGCUAGUAGUCACAAAGGUUUAGCACAAAAAACAUAGAAGGAAAGAAGACCAAUUAGCAAGUAAAAUUCAAAAGGGUUUACCACAUGCUUGUUUUUCCUCAUAGCCAACUCUGGUCGCAACUGUUGCUUGCAGUUUGUGUACCUAUGGCCUUGGAGCCCACAGUUGUUGCAUGUUAUAGUGGCCAUUCUUGAACUGUCCUUUGGUUUUGGAACCUCAAAUCUGCCCUUUAUUCUCUUCUCUUUCCUUCUCCCCUUCUUCACAUGAAAUUUGGGUGGCUCUAUGUCUGGUCCACUUGUCCUUGUCCAAUCAUGUUCACCAGGAACUGGAUAUAUCAUUGGUUCAUAUGCAGCAAGGUAAAAAGGUUUUUGAAGAAAUUGCGGACAUGGUCCUCUGGAAAUCUUUUUGCCUUAUUAAUUGCUGAUAUUGCAUGGUUGCAUGGUAUGCCAAUCAGGUCCCACUUUCUGCAGCCACAUGUAUAAACUUCCAAGUUUACAGCAUGUGUUUGCUGCCCACUGGUCACUUGCCAAAGAUUUACACCAGCUUGUAUAGGUUUGCAGAAUCUGGCCCUUUCCUUUUCCUCCUCAAGCUUCUCAGCAUAAUGUGGUGUGAUCUCCCACAGAGAUGUGUUUUCUCUCUCUCUCUCUCUGUUUCUAUGCCACCUCACCAUCUGCUUGUCCUUAAUACCAUCAAUCAUGGUCCUAAUAGGUUUUUUCCUAAAAUCUAGGAUGUACUUGUUGAACACCUCAGACAGGUUGUUAACAACCAAGUCUGUCUUGCAGUUAGUGUCAAAAGCAUGCCUAGCCCAUGUGUGCUUAGGUAUUCCACUUAGUCACUUCCAAGCUUCCUCACUCUCAUUUUUCAAGUCAUUCAUGGCAAUGUUAAAGUUGUGCUGGUUAUAAGCAUAGCUGGCAUUAUACAUGCAUUUCUUAAGAUCUUCCCCCCUAAACCCAGCAUUCUGGAAAUUUGCAUAAAGGUGUCUAAGGCAAAAUCUUUGAUGACAGUUUGGAAAAACUUGGUUUACUACAUUUAGUAGCCCCUGUUCACAUAGCAUGCUAGACUUAGUUGUUGUACUACUACAUCUAGAACAUAACAUGCUAAUGCAGAAGAACAUAAAAGCAAGAACAUAAAGAAAGAUGCAUGCAUAUCUUCUGUCUAUCAGACAUGAUAGUAUAAGGCCCAAAUUUGCCAACUUCUCCUCCUAGACAUAUCUUCAGUUCGUCUAGAAACCAACACCAGUUAGAUGUGUCCUCUUGUCCAACAACAGCAAAUGCAAGUGGGAAAAUAUUAUUAUUCCCAUCUCUUUCAGUGGCAGCUAGGAUUUGAGCACCAGUGGUGAGCUUAAUAAAGCAUCCAUCAACAACUGUUGUUGCAACCAAAGAACAAUUUAAACUUCUACAAAGCAUUACUAAACUAUAUAUUACAAAGCAUUACUAAACUAUAUAUUUAAGUAUAAAGAACUAUAAAGCACCACUACAUCAAUUGAGAAAGAACUAUAAAGCAUUACUAACCAAUGAAUGGUCUGCAUGCAUUGAGAAAUCACUCCCUUGCUCCAUUUAUGCAGAAGAACAUAGUAUGAAACCUUGGUCCUGAAUAUGGUAUUUUUGUAGUUGGUUUUGGAGUAACUGUUGCAACUAAAACUCUACUACCAUGGUUUGUAUCCAUGAUGGUCUGAGCAUAAUCCCUAAGCCUGGGAUACUGUUUCUUGUGCUCUAGUUUUUGGCCCUAUAGGCCAUGUGCCUUGGCACAUCAACACCAUACUUCUCAUUGUAGUUGUCAAUCAGAGUGUGUAUGCUGGUGGUUGGAUCAGACCUGAACAAUGACUCAUAGGUCUUUGCAAGCCACUUGGCACUAAUCCUAGAUGUCUCAAUGCUGCUAGGGCAAGUGUGCUCCAGCCUUAUUUUCUUAAUAGCUAAAGUCUUCUCCCCUUUGAUAACUGCAGCAACUAUGCAAAACUGGUAGUGCUCUUGCUUACAAUAGGCAAUGAUCCUUUGGUCUGAAUUUCUGUGAUACCUGAAGUCUCUGGCCUGUGCGAUGUGCAAGCUCAACAAAGCAUCUUUGAAUUGCUGCUGAUUCUUAAAGCACAUGUACAGAUAUAAUUGCUGAUGUGGUUGCUCAAGUUUGUCAUUGUACCAGAUCCUUGGUUUCCUUUUCUUAGCCCUACUCUUUCUCCCUUUAGGUAGAACAAAUGACAGUGGCUCAUGUCCAUCAUCUUCAUCUAUUGCUAGGGUGGGCCACCCAUAUCUCUGCCAGCUUCACCCUGGCCUCCAUGGACAGCGCGGCCUCCUCCUCCAAAUCCUCGUCCUCUGCAUUGGAGUAGUACGAACUGGAGCAUCGACGUCAUCCAGACCUAAGUGGUCAUCGGGGCCGAGGCCAGGAAGGUGUCCAUACCCACCCGCGCCGUCGUCGCCGCCGGGAGUCGCCGCCGCCAUCGCCUGAGAGGAAACUAGGGUUCGUCGCGUACAGGUUCGACCCGGCCCAGCUAAUUGGUGCGACCGAGCCGGCUGGGACGAAUGACCGCGCGUGUGCGAGCGGGUAAGCCAUCGUGGCACCUGACGCAUGGGCCCGGUAGGUCAAAUACGUGGUCAAUACGCGCUUAUACGGCAAUUAGGCCGUUUUGCAACACUUAGGCUUAGAGUUGGCACUGCAUGAUAAAAAAAGGUGACUAGUGGUACUGAUUCGUCACAACGUGUCAAAGUGUGAUAGUUCCUUGCAAUUAACUCGAUGAACUGACAUGGAGUCCUCGGCCCGGGUGCACACGCAUGUUUUUUACGAACGGGCUCAAAAGCGGACGUGUAUCCUCUAAUAGCUAUAAAUCUGACGUCGAAUUUUACAGUGACUACGACAAUGCCGGUGCGUUGUCACGAGGCAAUAAAGACAAAGACACUGAUCAAUAUUGUGUGCCAUCUCCUUCUUAGUAUAUCAUCAUCGCUCUUUUUUUUGUUUUUGUCCUAAAGCUGUAGAGAAAAACAAAACCUACAUGUGUUGAUAACCCCUCAAACGUAAUCCUUGCAAUUUGCCUAUGUUAGAACACACCAAUUAUCGGAUUAGAAGAACCGUGCAACUAAUGAGCCAUGGCAAAUUGAUUUGGACAACAAGGGUCAGGCGAACAUGGACCAAGUUGUAGUGUUCUACCUUUCCUGUGGUCCUCCUUGGUUGGUAGCAGCGAUGGUUCUCCCCAAGUCCUUAGUCACUUUCAAGCUGCUGCAAAAUGAAUUUUGUAUACAGGUGCAUUUUUUUCUCUUUUCUGAAUUUACAGUCUAAGUAAACAUUUGCAGGCUGUUUCUAUUUGCAACAACGGUUCCUAUUGCCUAAUGAAAGCUACAAGAAGGGCGUUGUCCACUCAGAACAAUCAUAUUGAAGGUCAAAUUAAGCCUGCAACUAAUAAUAUGAAAUUACUAUUUUUGACAUCGAAAGGGUUGGAUCUGAUAGGAGCAUACCCAUUUUUUUACCGGAAGAACAUAUCGGGUAUGGCCACCAAAAAGAAUAUCAAAAUAGCUAGCAUUUAGUUUAGAAAUGACAACUGUUGUGACUUCUAAACUGCUACAACUUCCUUCUAUUUGGUGUCUUGGGUAUGAGUAAGAAAAAUGUUCGGUCUGAAAAGACAUAAGGUAAAUGAGAGCAAAAAAUUAUACAUAUAAUGAAAUAAGACUGGAGAAGAAAUAUGUCCUUUAAUCGUAUGCACAGAGGCAUACAGCCAUUUCACUAAACGUGUACUGAUCUGUUCUUCCAAAUUGUCUACAAUGAAUUCAGUACUCAUCUGAAUGACUUUCUUUCUUUGUCUCUACGGAGAGAAUUCAUAACUUAUAAAUUGGACGUUCGACACCAGCAAUGAAAGAGUGGCUCACCAUUCUUCAGUGAUUCCUCCCUCAUAUGGAUAUCAUGCAGCGAUGUAGCAGACAUAGUAAGACCCACCUAAUCAACUAUCAGAUCUGGACGCUGCUUCAGAUAUGAUUCCCUUGACGAGAGCCCCAUGGGCGUGCCAUUUGAGUGCUGUGUCAACUAUCAAAAGUUCAAAACUAUCAGAUUCGUACAAACAAAAAAGGAUUUCCUACAAAAAAACAGGAUAGAUAGAACAUGAAGCAACUUACACGCAUGAUCUCGAGAGGAUGUUGGCAGAUAGCAUCUUCCCUGCUGCAGCCGCCGCAGCCGACCGACUCAGUCGCCGAAAGCCGUAACGAUGCCUCCCACCUUGGCCUCCUCCAUUCUGCUAAGGUGGGGCUAACAAGAUGUAGGUUUUUUUGGGGGGAAACUCGGAUUGGGGAACCGCAACGAUCAGGAGCAGCGUCUCAUUGGGGAUGAGGGGAAGACAGUGGUGGCGCUGCGAGGACGAAUUGAUGUAAGAUGCUAGGGGAGGACGAACUGAGUGGGAAGGAGAUGAUCGGGGCGUGCCCAGCGGCCGGAUAGAUAGCGUAUGGGCCUGACGAGACGACCCGGCGGCGACGGCCAUGGGAGGCCAGGAGGUCUCGCCCACACUAUUCCUCGAAGCCAUGGGCCAAGUUCCUCCGGACGGCAAUGUCCAUUCCCAAGGACGCCCGCGUCUGUGACCUCAGAACGUUGCCAAUCUCCCCUGCUGCUUGUGAGAUAGAAAGGAGAGGUGGUGGGUUGCGCUCAUCGCGGUGUCAGGCGACUCUGGCGGCAGCCAAAUCGGCAGGAGAUAGAAUCAACCCGUGGAUUCAGGAGAUGAGUGAGGGGGGAAUUGAUCAAAGGUUCUAAGAGGAAACAAACUAACGUGGGACAGGAGGCGUCCAGGGGUGCGGGAGCCGGGAGGGCGAACGAAACGCAACGAGGGUCGGACGAAAGAACGACGUAAUAGGGGAAACGGAACUUUACGUUUCUUUUAGAUAUAUAUAUGCACUGAGGCAUACAGCCAUUUCACUAAACGUGUACUGAUCUGUUCUUCCAAAUUGUCUACAAUGAAUUCAGUACUCAUCUGAAUGACUUUCUUUCUUUGUCUCUACGGAGAGAAUUCAUAACUUAUAAAUUGGACGUUCGACACCAGCAACAAAAGAGUGGCUCACCAUUCUUCAGUGAUUCCUCCCUCAUCUGGAUAUCAUGUAGCGAUGUAGCAGACAUAGUAAGACCCACCUAAUCAACUAUCAGAUCUGGACGCUGCUUCAGAUAUGAUUCCCUUGACGAGAGCCCCAUGGGCUUGCCAUUUGAGUGCUGUGUCAACUAUCAAAAGUUCAAAACUAUCAGAUUCGAACAAACAAAAAAGGAUUUCUUGCAAAAAAACAGGAUAGAUAGAACAUGAAGCAACUUACACGCAUGAUCUCGAGAGGAUGUUGGCAGAUAGCAUCUUCCCUGCUGCAGCCGCCGCAGCCGACCGACUCAGUCGCCGAAAGCCGUAACGAUGCCUCCCACCUUGGCCUCCUCCAUUCUGCUAAGGUGGGGCUAACAAGAUGUAGGUUUUUUUGGGGGGAAACUCGGAUUGGGGAACCGCAACGAUCAGGAGCAGCAUCUCAUUGGGGAUGAGGGGAAGACGGUGGUGGCGCUGCGAGGACGAAUUGAUGUAAGAUGCUAGGGGAGGACGAACUGAGUGGGAAGGAGAUGAUCGGGGCAUGGCCAGCGGCCGGAUAGACAGCGUAUGGGCCUGACGAGACGACCCGGCGGCGACGGCCAUGGGAGGCCAGGAGGUCUCGCCCACACUAUUCCUCGAAGCCAUGGGCCAAGUUCCUCCGGACGGCAACGUCCAUUCCCUAGGACGCCCGCGUCCGUGACCUCAGAACAUUGCCAAUCUCCCCUGCUGCUUGUGAGAUGGAAAGGAGAGGUGGUGGGUUGCGCUCAUCGCGGUGUCAGGCGACUCUGGCGGCAGCCAAAUCGGCAGGAGAUAGAAUCAACCCGUGGAUUCAGGAGAUGAGUGAGGGGGAAUUGAUCAAAGGUUCUAAGAGGAAACAAACUAACGUGGGACAGGAGGCGUCCAGGGGUGCGGGAGCCGGGAGGGCGAACGAAACGCAACGAGGGUCGGACGAAAGAACGAGGUAAUAGGGGAAACGGAACUUUACGUUUCUUUUAGAUAUAUAUAUGCACAGAGGCAUACAGCCAUUUCACUAAACGUGUACUGAUCUGUUCUUCCAAAUUGUCUACAAUGAAUUCAGUACUCAUCUGAAUGACUUUCUUUCUUUGUCUCUACGGAGAGAAUUCAUAACUUAUAAAUUGGACGUUCGACACCAGCAACGAAAGAGUGGCUCACCAUUCUUCAGUGAUUCCUCCCUCACAUGGAUAUCAUUCAGCGAUGUAGCAGACAUAGUAAGACCCACCUAAUCAACUAUCAGAUCUAGACGCUGCUUCAGAUAUGAUUCCCUUGACGAGAGCCCCAUGGGCUUGCCAUUUGAGUGCUGUGUCAACUAUCAAAAGUUCAAAACUAUCAGAUUCGUACAAACAAAAAAGGAUUUCCUGCAAAAAAACUGGAUAGAUAGAACGUGAAGCAACUUACACGCAUGAUCUCGAGAGGAUGUUGGCAGAUAGCAUCUUCCCUGCUGCAGCCGCCGCAGCCGACCGACUCAGUCGCCGAAAGCCGUAACGAUGCCUCCCACCUUGGCCUCCUCCAUUCUGCUAAGGUGGGGCUAAGAAGAUGUAGGUUUUUUUGGGGGGAAACUCGGAUUGGGGAACCGCAACGAUCAGGAGCAGCAUCUCAUUGGGGAUGAGGGGAAGACGAUGGUGGUGCUGCGAGGACGAAUUGAUGUAAGAUGCUAGGGGUGGACGAACUGAGUGGGAAGGAGAUGAUCGGGGCGUGGCCAGCGGCCGGAUAGACAGCGUAUGGGCCUGACGAGACGACCUGGUGGCAACGGCCAUGGGAGGCCAGGAGGUCUCGCCCACACUAUUCCUCGAAGCCAUGGGCCAAGUUCCUCCGGAAGGCAACGUCCAUUCCCUAGGACGCCCGCGUCCGUGACCUCAGAACAUUGCCAAUCUCCCCUGAUGCUUGUGAGAUGGAAAGGAGAGGUGGUGGGUUGCGCUCAUCGCGGUGUCAGGCGACUCUGGCGGCAGCCAAAUCGGCAGGAGAUAGAAUCAACCCGUGGAUUCAGGAGAUGAGUGAGGGGGGAAUUGAUCAAAGGUUCUAAGAGGAAACAAACUAACGUGGGACAGGAGGCGUCCAGGGGUGCGGGAGCCGGGAGGGCAAACGAAACGCAACGAGGGUCGGACGAAAGAACGACGUAAUAGGGGAAACGGAACUUUACGUUUCUUUUAGAUAUAUAUAUGCACUGAGGCAUACAGCCAUUUCACUAAACGUGUACUGAUCUGUUCUUCCAAAUUGUCUACAAUGAAUUCAGUACUCAUCUGAAUGACUUUCUUUCUUUGUCUCUACGGAGAGAAUUCAUAACUUAUAAAUUGGACGUUCGACACCAGCAACGAAAGAGUGGCUCACCAUUCUUCAGUGAUUCCUCCCUCAUAUGGAUAUCAUGCAGCGAUGUAGCAGACAUAGUAAGACCCACCUAAUCAACUAUCAGAUCUGGACGCUGCUUCAGAUAUGAUUCCCUUGACGAGAGCCCCAUGGGCUUGCCAUUUGAGUGCUGUGUCAACUAUCAAAAGUUCAAAACUAUCAGAUUCGAACAAACAAAAAAGGAUUUCCUGCAAAAAAACAGGAUAGAUAGAACAUGAAGCAACUUACACGCAUGAUCUCGAGAGGAUGUUGGCAGAUAGCAUCUUCCCUGCUGCAGCCGCCGCAGCCGACCGACUCAGUCGCCGAAAGCCGUAACGAUGCCUCCCACCUUGGCCUCCUCCAUUCUGCUAAGGUGGGGCUAACAAGAUGUAGGUUUUUUGGGGGGAAACUCGGAUUGGGGAACCGCAACGAUCAGGAGCAGCGUCUCAUUGGGGAUGAGGGGAAGACGAUGGUGGCGCUGCGAGGACGAAUUGAUGUAAGAUGCUAGGGGAGGACGAACUGAGUGGGAAGGAGAUGAUCGAGGCGUGGCCAGCGGCCGGAUAGACAGCGUAUGGGCCUGACGAGACGUCCCGGCGGCGACGGCCAUGGGAGGCCAGGAGGUCUCGCCCACACUAUUCCUCGAAGCCAUGGGCCAAGUUCCUCCGGACGGCAACGUCCAUUCCCUAGGACGCCCGCGUCCGUGACCUCAGAACAUUGCCAAUCUCCCCUGCUGCUUGUGUGAUGGAAAGGAGAGGUGGUGGGUUGCGCUCAUCGCGGUGUCAGGCGACUCUAGCGGCAGCCAAAUCGGCAGGAGAUAGAAUCAACCCGUGGAUUUAGGAGAUGAGUGAGGGGGGAAUUGAUCAAAGGUUCUAAGAGGAAACAAACUAACGUGGGACAGGAGGCGUCCAGGGGUGCGGGAGCCGGGAGGGCGAACGAAACGCAACGAGGGUCGGACGAAAGAACGACGUAAUAGGGGAAACGGAACUUUAUGUUUCUUUUAGAUAUAUAUAUAUAUAUGCACAGAGGCAUACAGCCAUUUCACUAAACGUGUGCUGAUCUGUUCUUCCAAAUUGUCUACAAUGAAUUCAGUACUCAUCUGAAUGACUUUCUUUCUUUGUCUCCACGGAGAGAAUUCAUAACUUAUAAAUUGGACGUUCGACACCAGCAACGAAAGAGUGGCUCACCAUUCUUCAGCGAUUCCUCCCUCAUAUGGAUUUCAUGCAGCAAUGUAGCAGACAUAGUACGACCCACCUAAUCAUCUAUCAGAUCUGGACGCUGCUUCAGAUAUGAUUCCCUUGACGAGAGCCCCAUGGGCUUGCCAUUUGAGUGCUGUGUCAACUAUCAAAAGUUCAAAACUAUCAGAUUUGUACAAACAAAAAAGGAUUUCCUGCAAAAAAACAGGAUAGAUAGAACAUGAAGCAACUUACACGCAUGAUCUCGAGAGGAUGUUGGCAGAUAGCAUCUUCCCUGCUGCAGCCGCCGCAGCCGACCGACUCAGUCGCCGAAAGCCGUAACGAUGCCUCCCACCUUGGCCUCCUCCAUUCUGCUAAGGUGGGGCUAACAAGAUGUAGGUUUUUUUGGGGGGAAACUCGGAUUGGGGAACCGCAACAAUCAGGAGCAGCGUCUCAUUGGGGAUGAGGCGAAGACGGUGGUGGCGCUGCAAGGACAAAUUGAUGUAAGAUGCUAGGGGAGGACGAACUGAGUGGGAAGGAGAUGAUCGGGGCGUGGCCAGCGGCCGGAUAGACAGCGUAUGGGCCUGACGAGACGACCCGGCGGCGACGGCCAUGGGAGGCCAGGAGGUCUCGCCCACACUAUUCCUCGAAGCCAUGGGCCAAGUUCCUCCGGAAGGCAACGUCCAUUCCCUAGGACGCCCGCGUCCGUGACCUCAGAACAUUUGCAAUCUCCUCUGCUGCUUGUGAGAUGGAAAGGAGAGGUGGUGGGUUGCGCUCAUCGCGGUGUCAGGCGACUCUGGCGGCAGCCAAAUCGGCAGGAGAUAGAAUCAACCCGUGGAUUCAGGAGAUGAGUGAGGGGGGAAUUGAUCAAAGGUUCUAAGAGGAAACAAACUAACGUGGGACAGGAGGCGUCCAGGGGUGCGGGAGCCGGGAGGGCGAACGAAACGCAACGAGGGUCGGAUGAAAGAACGACGUAAUAGGGGAAACGGAACUUUACGUUUCUUUUAGAUAUAUAUAUGCACAGAGGCAUACAGCCAUUUCACUAAACGUGUACUGAUCUGUUCUUCCAAAUUGUCUACAAUGAAUUCAGUACUCAUCUGAAUGACUUUCUUUCUUUGUCUCUACGGAGAGAAUUCAUAACUUAUAAAUUGGACGUUCGACACCAGCAACGAAAGAGUGGCUCACCAUUCUUCAGUGAUUCCUCCCUCAUAUGGAUAUCAUGCAGCGAUGUAGCAGACAUAGUAAGACCCACCUAAUCAACUAUGACAUCUAGACGCUGCUUCAGAUAUGAUUCCCUUGACGAGAGCCCCAUGGGCUUGCCAUUUGAGUGCUGUGUCAACUAUCAAAAGUUCAAAACUAUCAGAUUCGUACAAACAAAAAAGGAUUUCCUGCAAAAAAACAGGAUAGAUAGAACAUGAAGCAACUUACACGCAUGAUCUCGAGAGGAUGUUGGGAGAUAGCAUCUUCCCUGCUGCAGCCGCCGCAGCCGACUGACUCAGUCGCCGAAAGCCGUAACAAUGCCUCCCACCUUGGCCUCCUCCAUUCUGCUAAGGUGGGGCUAACAAGAUGUAGGUUUUUUUGGGGGGAAACUCGGAUUGGGGAACCGCAACGAUCAGGAGCAGCGUCUCAUUGGGGAUGAGGGGAAGACGGUGGUGGCGCUGCGAGGACGAAUUGAUGUAAGAUGCUAGGGGAGGACGAACUGAGUGGGAAGGAGAUGAUCGGGGCGUGGCCAGCGGCCGGAUAGACAGCGUAUGGGCCUGACGAGACGACCCGGCGGCGACGGCCAUGGGAGGCCAGGAGGUCUCGCCCACACUAUUCCUCGAAGCCAUGGGCCAAGUUCCUCUGGACGGCAACGUCCAUUCCCUAGGACGCCCGCGUCCGUGACCUCAGAACAUUGCCAAUCUCCCCUGCUGCUUGUGAGAUGGAAAGGAGAGGUGGUGGGUUGCGCUCAUCGCGGUGUCAGGCGACUCUGGCGGCAGCCAAAUCGGCAGGAGAUAGAAUCAACCUGUGGAUUCAGGAGAUGAGUGAGGGGGGAAUUGAUCAAAGGUUCUAAGAGGAAACAAACUAACGUGGGACAGGAGGCGUCCAGGGGUGCGGGAGCCGGGAGGGCGAACGAAACACAACGAGGGUCGGACGAAAGAACGACGUAAUAGGGGAAACGGAACUUUACGUUUCUUUUAGAUAUAUAUAUGCACUGAGGCAUACAGCCAUUUCACUAAACGUGUACUGAUCUGUUCUUCCAAAUUGUCUACAAUGAAUUCAGUACUCAUCUGAAUGACUUUCUUUCUUUGUCUCUACGGAGAGAAUUCAUAACUUAUAAAUUGGACGUUCGACACCAGCAACGAAAGAGUGGCUCACCAUUCUUCAGCGAUUCCUCCCUCAUAUGGAUAUCAUGCAGCGAUGUAGCAGACAUAGUAAGACCCACCUAAUCAACUAUCAGAUCUGGACGCUGCUUCAGAUAUGAUUCCCUUGACGAGAGCCCCAUGGGCUUGCCAUUUGAGUGCUGUGUCAACUAUCAAAAGUUCAAAACUAUCAGAUUCAUACAAACAAAAAAGGAUUUCCUGCAAAAAAAACAGGAUAGAUAGAACAUGAAGCAACUUACACGCAUGAUCUCGAGAGGAUGUUGGCAGAUAGCAUCUUCCCUGCUGCAGCCGCCGCAGCCGAUCGACUCAGUCGCCGAAAGCCGUAACGAUGCCUCCCACCUUGGCCUCCUCCAUUCUGCUAAGGUGGGGCUAACAAGAUGUAGGUUUUUUUGGGGGGAAACUCGGAUUGGGGAACCGCAACGAUCAGGAGCAGCGUCUCAUUGGGGAUGAGGGGAAGACGGUGGUGGCGCUGCGAGGACGAAUUGAUGUAAGAUGCUAGGGGAGGACGAACUGAGUGGGAAGGAGAUGAUCGGGGCGUGGCCAGCGGCCGGAUAGACAGCGUAUGGGCCUGACGAGACGACCCAGCGGCGACGGCCAUGGGAGGCCAGGAGGUCUCGCCCACACUAUUCCUCGAAGCCAUGGGCCAAGUUCCUCCGGACGGCAACGUCCAUUCCCUAGGACGCCCGCGUCCGUGACCUCAGAACAUUGCCAAUCUCCCCUGCUGCUUGUGAGAUGGAAAGGAGAGGUGGUGGGUUGCGCUCAUCGCGGUGUCAGGCGACUCUGGCGGCAGCCAAAUCGGCAGGAGAUAGAAUCAACCCGUGGAUUCAGGAGAUGAGUGAGGGGGGAAUUGAUCAAAGGUUCUAAGAGGAAACAAACUAACGUGGGACAGGAGGCGUCCAGGGGUGCGGGAGCCGGGAGGGCGAACGAAACGCAACGAGGGUCGGACGAAAGAACGACGUAAUAGGGGAAAUGGAACUUUACGUUUCUUUUAGAUAUAUAUAUAUGCACAGAGGCAUACAGCCAUUUCACUAAACGUGUACUGAUCUGUUCUUCCAAAUUGUCUACAAUGAAUUCAGUACUCAUCUGAAUGACUUUCUUUCUUUGUCUCUACGGAGAGAAUUCAUAACUUAUAAAUUGGACGUUCGACACCAGCAACGAAAGAGUGGCUCACCAUUCUUCAGCGAUUCCUCCCUCAUAUGGAUAUCAUGCAGCGAUGUAGCAGACAUAGUAAGACCCACCUAAUCAACUAUCAGAUCUGGACGCUGCUUCAGAUAUGAUUCCCUUGACGAGAGCCCCAUGGGCUUGCCAUUUGAGUGCUGUGUCAACUAUCAAAAGUUCAAAACUAUCAGAUUCGUACAAACAAAAAAGGAUUUCCUGCAAAAAAAACAGGAUAGAUAGAACAUGAAGCAACUUACACGCAUGAUCUCGAGAGGAUGUUGGCAGAUAGCAUCUUGACUGCUGCAGCCGCCGCAGCCGAUCGACUCAGUCGACGAAAGCCGUAACGAUGCCUCCCACCUUGGCCUCCUCCAUUCUGCUAAGGUGGGGCUAACAAGAUGUAGGUUUUUUUGGGGGGAAACUCGGAUUGGGGAACCGCAACGAUCAGGAGCAGCGUCUCAUUGGGGAUGAGGGGAAGACGGUGGUGGCGCUGCGAGGACGAAUUGAUGUAAGAUGCUAGGGGAGGACGAACUGAGUGGGAAGGAGAUGAUCGGGGCGUGGCCAGCGGCCGGAUAGACAGCGUAUGGGCCUGACGAGACGACCCGGCGGCGACGGCCAUGGGAGGCCAAGAGGUCUCGCCCACACUAUUCCUCGAAGCCAUGGGCCAAGUUCCUCCGGACGGCAACGUCCAUUCCCUAGGACGCCCGCGUCCGUGACCUCAGAACAUUGCCAAUCUCCCCUGCUGCUUGUGAGAUGGAAAGGAGAGGUGGUGGGUUGCGCUCAUCGCGGUGUCAGGCGACUCGGGCGGCAGCCAAAUCGGCAGGAGAUAGAAUCAACCCGUGGAUUCAGGAGAUGAGUGAGGGGGGAAUUGAUCAAAGGUUCUAAGAGGAAACAAACUAACGUGGGACAGGAGGCGUCCACGGGUGCGGGAGCCGGGAGGGCGAACGAAACGCAACGAGGGUCGGACGAAAGAACGACGUAAUAGGGGAAACGGAACUUNNNNNNNNNNCGAAAGCCGUAACGAUGCCUCCCACCUUGGCCUCCUCCAUUCUGCUAAGGUGGGGCUAACAAGAUGUAGGUUUUUUUGGGGGGAAACUCGGAUUGGGGAACCGCAACGAUCAGGAGCAGCGUCUCAUUGGGGAUGAGGGGAAGACGGUGGUGGCGCUGCGAGGACGAAUUGAUGUAAGAUGCUAGGGGAGGACGAACUGAGUGGGAAGGAGAUGAUCGGGGCGUGGCCAGCGGCCGGAUAGACAGCGUAUGGGCCUGACGAGACGACCCGGCGGCGACGGCCAUGGGAGGCCAAGAGGUCUCGCCCACACUAUUCCUCGAAGCCAUGGGCCAAGUUCCUCCGGACGGCAACGUCCAUUCCCUAGGACGCCCGCGUCCGUGACCUCAGAACAUUGCCAAUCUCCCCUGCUGCUUGUGAGAUGGAAAGGAGAAUUGGUGGGUUGCGCUCAUCGCGGUGUCAGGCGACUCUGGAGGCAGCCAAAUCGGCAGGAGAUAGAAUCAACCCGUGGAUUCAGGAGAUGAGUGAGGGGGGAAUUGAUCAAAGGUUCUAAGAGGAAACAAACUAACGUGGGACAGGAGGCGUCCAGGGGUGCGGGAGCCGGGAGGGCGAACGAAACGCAACGAGGGUCGGACGAAAGAACGACGUAAUAGGGGAAACGGAACUUUACGUUUCUUUUAGAUAUAUAUAUAUAUAUAUAUAUAUAUAUGCACAGAGGCAUACAGCCAUUUCACUAAACGUGUACUGAUCUGUUCUUCCAAAUUGUCUACAAUGAAUUCAGUACUCAUCUGAAUGACUUUCUUUCUUUGUCUCUACGGAGAGAAUUCAUAACUUAUAAAUUGGACGUUCGACACCAGCAACGAAAGAGUGGCUCGCCAUUCUUCAGUGAUUCCUCCCUCAUAUGGAUAUCAUGCAGCGAUGUAGCAGACAUAGUAAGACCCACCUAAUCAACUAUCAGAUCUGGACGCUGCUUCAGAUAUGAUUCCCUUGAUGAGAGCCCCAUGGGCUGGCCAUUUGAGUGCUGUGUCAACUAUCAAAAGUUCAAAACUAUCAGAUUCGUACAAACAAAAAAGGAUUUCCUGCAAAAAAACAGGAUAGAUAGAACAUGAAGCAACUUACACGCAUGAUCUCGAGAGGAUGUUGGCAGAUAGCAUCUUCCCUGCUGCAGCCGCCGCAGCCGACCGACUCAGUCGCCGAAAGCCGUAACGAUGCCUACCACCUUGGCCUCCUCCAUUCUGCUAAGGUGGGGCUAACAAGAUGUAGGUUUUUUUGGGGGGAAACUCGGAUUGGGGAACCGCAAUGAUUAGGAGCAGCAUCUCAUUGGGGAUGAGGGGAAGACGGUGGUGGCGCUGCGAGGACGAAUUGAUGUAAGAUGCUAGGGGAGGACGAACUGAGUGGGAAGGAGAUGAUCGGGGCGUGGCCAGCGGCCGGAUAGACAGCGUAUGCGCCUGACGAGACGACCCGGCGGCGACGGCCAUGGGAGGCCAGGAGGUCUCGCCCACACUAUUCCUCGAAGCCAUGGGCCAAGUUCCUCCGGAAGGCAACGUCCAUUCCCUAGGACGCCCGCGUCCGUGACCUCAGAACAUUGCCAAUCUCCCCUGAUGCUUGUGAGAUGGAAAGGAGAGGUGGUGGGUUGCGCUCAUCGCGGUGUCAGGCGACUCUGGCGGCAGCCAAAUCGGCAGGAGAUAGAAUCAACCCGUGGAUUCAGGAGAUGAAUGAGGGGGGAAUUGAUCAAAGGUUCUAAGAGGAAACAAACUAACGUGGGACAGGAGGCGUCCAGGGGUGCGGGAGCCGGGAGGGCGAACGAAACGCAACGAGGGUCGGACGAAAGAACGACGUAAUAGGGGAAACAGAACUUUACGUUUCUUUUAGAUAUAUAUAUAUAUAUGCACAGAGGCAUACAGCCAUUUCACUAAACGUGUACUGAUCUGUUCUUCCAAAUUGUCUACAAUGAAUUCAGUACUCAUCUGAAUGACUUUCUUUCUUUGUCUCUACGGAGAGAAUUCAUAACUUAUAAAUUGGACGUUCGACACCAGCAACGAAAGAGUGGCUCGCCAUUCUUCAGCGAUUCCUCCCUCAUAUGGAUAUCAUGCAGCGAUGUAGCAGACAUAGUAAGACCCACCUAAUCAACUAUCAGAUCUGGACGCUGCUUCAGAUAUGAUUCCCUUGACGAGAGCCCCAUGGGCUUGCCAUUUGAGUGCUGUGUCAACUAUCAAAAGUUCAAAACUAUCAGAUUCGUACAAACAAAAAAGGAUUUCCUGCAAAAAAACAGGAUAGAUAGAACAUGAAGCAACUUACACGCAUCAUCUCGAGAGGAUGUUGGCAGAUAGCAUCUUCCCUGCUGCAGCCGCCGCAGCCGACCGACUCAGUCGCUGAAAGCCGUAACAAUGCCUCCCACCUUGGCCUCCUCCAUUCUGCUAAGGUGGGGCUAACAAGAUGUAGGUUUUUUUGGGGGGAAACUCGGAUUGGGGAACCGCAAUGAUUAGGAGCAGCAUCUCAUUGGGGAUGAGGGGAAGACGGUGGUGGCGCUGCGAGGACGAAUUGAUGUAAGAUGCUAGGGGAGGACGAACUGAGUGGGAAGGAGAUGGUCGGGGCGUGGCCAGCGGCCGGAUAGACAGCAUAUGCGCCUGACGAGACGACCCGGCGGCGACGGCCAUGGGAGGCCAGGAGGUCUCGCCCACACUAUUCCUCGAAGCCAUGGGCCAAGUUCCUCCGGAAGGCAACGUCCAUUCCCUAGGACGCCCGCGUCCGUGACCUCAGAGCAUUGCCAAUCUCCCCUGAUGCUUGUGAGAUGGAAAGGAGAGGUGGUGGGUUGCGCUCAUCGUGGUGUCAGGCGACUCUGGCGGCAGCCAAAUCGGCAGGAGAUAGAAUCAACCCGUGGAUUCAGGAGAUGAGUGAGGGGGGAAUUGAUCAAAGGUUCUAAGAGGAAACAAACUAACGUGGGACAGGAGGCGUCCAGGGGUGCGGGAGCCGGGAGGGCGAACGAAACGCAACGAGGGUCGGACGAAAGAACGACGUAAUAGGGGAAACGGAACUUUACGUUUCUUUUAGAUAUAUAUAUAUAUAUAUAUAUAUAUGCACUGAGGCAUAUAGCCAUUUCACUAAACGUGUACUGAUCUGUUCUUCCAAAUUGUCUACAAUGAAUUCAGUACUCAUCUGAAUGGCUUUCUUUCUUUGUCUCUACGGAGAGAAUUCAUAACUUAUAAAUUGGACGUUCGACACCAGCAACGAAAGAGUGGCUCGCCAUUCUUCAGUGAUUCCUCCCUCAUAUGGAUAUCAUGCAGCGAUGUAGCAGACAUAGUAAGACCCACCUAAUCAACUAUCAGAUCUGGACGCUGCUUCAGAUAUGAUUCCCUUGACGAGAGCCCCAUGGGCUUGCCAUUUGAGUGCUGUGUCAACUAUCAAAAGUUCAAAACUAUCAGAUUCGUACAAACAAAAAAAGAUUUCCUGCAAAAAAACAGGAUAGAUAGAACAUGAAGCAACUUACACGCAUGAUCUCGAGAGGAUGUUGGCAGAUAGCAUCUUCCCUGCUGCAGCCGCCGCAGCCGACCAACUCAGUCGCCGAAAGCCGUAACGAUGCCUACCACCUUGGCCUCCUCCAUUCUGCUAAGGUGGGGCUAACAAGAUGUAGGUUUUUUUGGGGGGAAACUCGGAUUGGGGAACCGCAACGAUCAGGAGCAGCGUCUCAUUGGGGAUGAGGGGAAGACGGUGGUGGCGCUGCGAGGACGAAUUGAUGUAAGAUGCUAGGGGAGGACGAACUGAGUGGGAAGGAGAUGAUCGGGGCGUGGCCAGCGGCCGGAUAGACAGCGUAUGGGCCUGACGAGACGACCCGGCGGCGACGGCCAUGGGAGGCCAGGAGGUCUCGCCCACACUAUUCCUCGAAGCCAUGGGCCAAGUUCCUCCGGACGGCAACGUCCAUUCCCUAGGACGCCCGCAUCCGUGACCUCAGAACAUUGCCAAUCUCCCCUGCUGCUUGUGAGAUGGAAAGGAGAGGUGGUGGGUUGCGCUCAUCGCGGUGUCAGGCGACUCUGGCGGCAGCCAAAUCGGCAGGAGAUAGAAUCAACCCGUGGAUUCAGGAGAUGAGUGAGGGGGGAAUUGAUCAAAGGUUCUAAGAGGAAACAAACUAACGUGGGACAGGAGGCGUCCAGGGGUGCGGGAGCCGGGAGGGCGAACGAAACGCAACGAGGGUCGGACGAAAGAACGACGUAAUAGGGGAAACGGAACUUUACGUUUCUUUUAGAUAUAUAUAUGCACAGAGGCAUACAGCCAUUUCACUAAACGUGUACUGAUCUGUUCUUCCAAAUUGUCUACAAUGAAUUCAGUACUCAUCUGAAUGACUUUCUUUCUUUGUCUCUACGGAGAGAAUUCAUAACUUAUAAAUUGGACGUUCGACACCAGCAACGAAAGAGUGGCUCACCAUUCUUCAGUGCUUCCUCCCUCAUAUGGAUAUCAUGCAGCGAUGUAGCAGACAUAGUAAGACCCACCUAAUCAACUAUCAGAUCUGGACGCUGCUUCAGAUAUGAUUCCCUUGACGAGAGCCCCAUGGGCUUGCCAUUUGAGUGUUGUGUCAACUAUCAAAAGUUCAAAACUAUCAGAUUCGUACAAACAAAAAAGGAUUUCCUGCAAAAAAACAGGAUAGAUAGAACAUGAAGCAACUUACACGCAUGAUCUCGAGAGGAUGUUGGCAGAUAGCAUCUUCCCUGCUGCAGCCGCCGCAGCCGACCGACUCAGUCGCCGAAAGCCGUAACGAUGCCUACCACCUUGGCCUCCUCCAUUCUGCUAAGGUGGGGCUAACAAGAUGUAGGUUUUUUUGGGGGGAAACUCGGAUUGGGGAACCGCAACGAUCAGGAGCAGCGUCUCAUUGGGGAUGAGGGGAAGACGGUGGUGGCGCUGCGAGGACGAAUUGAUGUAAGAUGCUAGGGGAGGACGAACUGAGUGGGAAGGAGAUGAUCGGGGCGUGGCCAGCGGCCGGAUAGACAGCGUAUGGGCCUGACGAGACGACCCGGCGGCGACGGCCAUGGGAGGCCAGGAGGUCUCGCCCACACUAUUCCUCGAAGCCAUGGGCCAAGUUCCUCCGGACGGCAACGUCCAUUCCCUAGGACGCCCGCGUUCGUGACCUCAGAACAUUGCCAAUCUCCCCUGCUGCUUGUGAGAUGGAAAGGAGAGGUGGUGGGUUGCGCUCAUCGCGGUGUCAGGCGACUCUGGCGGCAGCCAAAUCGGCAGGAGAUAGAAUCAACCCGUGGAUUCAGGAGAUGAGUGAGGGGGGAAUUGAUCAAAGGUUCUAAGAGAAAACAAACUAACGUGGGACAGGAGGCGUCUAGGGGUGCGGGAGCCGGGAGGGCGAACGAAACGCAACGAGGGUCGGACGAAAGAACGACGUAAUAGGGGAAACGGAACUUUACGUUUCUUUUAUAUAUAUAUAUAUAUAUAUAUAUAUAUAUAUAUAUAUAUAUAUAUAUAUAUAUAUAUACGGCAGCGCUAUUGUGAGCGGGAGCGCAAAGUUCCUUAUUCUGCGCUCCGGCCAAACCAGGCGCCACCCUACCGACCGGCCCUACGCUUAUAUGUUCGUGCUAAUCACCUUGUCCCUCCACUUGAUAGUAAAAUGUGUGUCUUCUAUAGUAAGCAUUUUACGACGCAUGUGUGCUAACCACCUCGUCCAUCCAUUUGUUAUUAGAACCUGUGAUUUUCUUGUAGUAAACCAUUUACUACACACUCAUGUGGUAAUUUUGAUCGUAAAAAUAUGGGCACACAUCGUAACAUAUUACUAGCAGAUUGGUCUCCAAAAUCGUGUUUGGCACGUCAUUGGCCUGGUUAGGCACUCUAUAUAAUGAUGGUAAUAACAAGGGAACAUAUAGUAACAACAUCACUUCUCGUUACUGAUUGCCCUGCCUCGCAUCUCAGCCUCAAUGGUAAAGUAAUGGGUCAUACAGUACAUAGUAUAACAGAAUAAAUUUUUGUUACCGGCUGNNNNNNNNNNNNNNNNNNNNNNNNNNNNNNNNNNNNNNNNNNNNNNNNNNNNNNNNNNNNNNNNNNNNNNNNNNNNNNNNNNNNNNNNNNNNNNNNNNNNNNNNNNNNNNNNNNNNNNNNNNNNNNNNNNNNNNNNNNNNNNNNNNNNNNNNNNNNNNNNNNNNNNNNNNNNNNNNNNNNNNNNNNNNNNNNNNNNNNNNNNNNNNNNNNNNNNNNNNNNNNNNNNNNNNNNNNNNNNNNNNNNNNNNNNNNNNNNNNNNNNNNNNNNNNNNNNNNNNNNNNNNNNNNNNNNNNNNNNNNNNNNNNNNNNNNNNNNNNNNNNNNNNNNNNNNNNNNNNNNNNNNNNNNNNNNNNNNNNNNNNNNNNNNNNNNNNNNNNNNNNNNNNNNNNNNNNNNNNNNNNNNNNNNNNNNNNNNNNNNNNNNNNNNNNNNNNNNNNNNNNNNNNNNNNNNNNNNNNNNNNNNNNNNNNNNNNNNNNNNNNNNNNNNNNNNNNNNNNNNNNNNNNNNNNNNNNNNNNNNNNNNNNNNNNNNNNNNNNNNNNNNNNNNNNNNNNNNNNNNNNNNNNNNNNNNNNNNNNNNNNNNNNNNNNNNNNNNNNNNNNNNNNNNNNNNNNNNNNNNNNNNNNNNNNNNNNNNNNNNNNNNNNNNNNNNNNNNNNNNNNNNNNNNNNNNNNNNNNNNNNNNNNNNNNNNNNNNNNNNNNNNNNNNNNNNNNNNNNNNNGUCUUUCCUUUACCGGACAGCAUUGCACGGGUCGGAUGAGGCGGUACGAGAGAGGGGGCGGUUGUAGGGCAGCCGGUGGCACGAGGCAGACCGGGCGGUGGCACGGGGCGGAGGCCACGCGCGCACCACGCGCCUCCUCCCCUCCCGUGCGGCCGCAGCCAGAAAGAAAUGUCCAUGGCCACGCAGCGGCACGCGCCAGGCGGGGGCACGGCACGGUGCCAGCCACGCGCCCUCGCGUGCCCCUCUCUCCCCGACCCCGUCCCCACACACACGUGGGCUCCCUCCCUACACCCCAUGGCCCACGCCUCAUCGCCACGCCACCGCCCGCGCAACGGAACGGGCACGCCACGCGCCCCUCCGCCCCUUUUCUUCUUCUUCUUCUUCUCGACUCUCCGCCAUUGCGCUAACCAAGGACAGAGAAGCCAGGCGGCAGCAACCCCUUUCCUCCAAUCUCCGUCCAUUCGAGGUACGUACUAGGUACUACGUCGUCUGCCUCCUCCAAUCUUUUCUCUUUGGGUUUGGAUUGGGGACUGGUUUAUACGUACGGCUGACGGCGGCGGUUUCUUGGUUUCUAUCUCCAGACGUCUGCGGGGCCGGGCAAGGCAUGGUCGCCAUGCUGCCCGCCGCGAGGGGGGACGCCGCCCCAGCCGCCAGCGCCGGCGCCGCCGACAAGCUCGUCCACGGGUGAGGCCUCUUGCUUUGGAGCGGCUCCAGAUCUCGUUUCGUUUUGGGGAUUCAGCCAAUGGAUCUUGUACUGUUUAUUUUCAUUCUCUGAACGCACGCCGGGAGUAAAUGGACGCCCGUGAGGGCUGUGCCCGUGCUCCACUGCUGCUGAUGUAGCACCUUUCGAUGCGCAGGCCUGUCACCGACGGCAAGUGCAAGAAGAAGGCCCCGAGGAUGAUCCACAAGGCCGAGAGGGAGAAGCACAAGCGCGACCUGCUCAACGAUCUCUUCAGCGAGCUUGACGAAAUGCUAGGUGAGUUGAGUAGGUGUGCAUGUUUCUGAAUUCUGUCACGGCAUUGCUCCAGUGACCCUGUUCCUGAAUUUUGGGGGUUGUUUUCUUUUCCUUGUGGUUAUUUGGGAUGUUACGGUUGAGCGUGCGUGGGCAUGUGUGAAUCUGCAUCAUGUUGUUAUCAUCCAUGUCCAAGCCAAUGUUUUUGAGUGAAUAGUAGGGUUCAGUAUGUGUAAUGGAUUUCCUUAGUAAUAGUAGAUCCCAAUGAAUGUUUAUGCUGAUGAAAACGUGGAUGAACUUGACAACUUGUUACAAUCCGUCAAGCUUCAGCUUCGACAUUCACUUACGGUGUAAAGCAGCCUCAGACAAUGUGAAUGUGUACUGCCUGUUUGUCAGCAGCAUCUUACUGGUCUUGGAUUUUUCAUGCCACUCAACUAAAUUUGCCACAUUAAGCAUUGGGUUUAUUCUGAUCGAAUUCAACAUCAUUUUGCAGAAGCAGACAGGCAGACCAAUGGGAAGGCAUGUAUAUUGACUGACACCACUCGAAUCCUUCGAGACCUGCUUUCGCAAUUAGAAUCUCUCCGAAAGGAGAAUAGCACCCUGCAGAAUGAAUCCCAUUAUGUAAGUCGCUUCUAUAAUUGUGUUUGCUUCCCUUCUUUCCGCACUUGAUGGUUUAUAAUUGGUAUCUGAUGACCCUAUGGACUGCCAAUUUUUUCGUUUAUGCAUAGGAUAACUAGGCAAGAGACAAAUGCCAAAAUUAUCAUUCCAGAAUUGCUGCAAUGCAUUUUAUCACAUGAUACCUACAUACUCGAGCGGCUGUUUAUUAUCCCAUCUUCAUUCUGCCACAAACAGGUUACGAUGGAGAGGAAUGAGCUGCAGGAUGAGAACGGUGUGCUCCGCAAUGAAAUUCUGGAGCUACAAAAUGAGCUGGCGACGCUUCCCGCAGGCAACCCAGGUUGGGGCCAUGCUACUGCUGGAUCGCCUCACCCUGCGGGCACAGUUUUCCCGUCACAGCAACCAAUGCAGCCGACCACCAUCGCAAGCGCAGUAUUCCCCUUGCAGCAGCCUCUGCAACAGACAACAAUCCUGGAGCACCCUUAUGCACCACCACCACCACCACGGGAACUUAAGCUCUUCCCAGAUGCUGCGUCUGAUAUCGAAGGCCUUGAACCAUCAGAAGAUCAGGAGGCCGCCAACCAUAUUGCGCGACCGCUGGCGAGGUACCCAACACAGUCAGCGUUGUGGCCUGUAAGCCUGGGUCUCCCGAGGAUGGAAGACGAACAGUGUAGCAGUGGCACAACCGGCAGUAGCAAGGAAGGUAGUAGCUCUGCCUCUAGUAGAGAUUGAGUAGAUCAGCUCCAACCAGUCAGGAAGUUUCUCUUUGAGCGUAGCGAAUAUACACAGAUGAGCAUGUGGCAUGUAAAUACCAGACUCCAUCUUGGAUCUGGGAAUGUUAUGUUAGAUGAGAAGAUGACACUCCAAUGGGAAUCAGAAUAGCAGCAUUUCUCAUCCUUUGUGUUGCACCGUAUCAUAUAUAUGAACUGAUCUAGAUUUGAUAUUUGCAAAGAAAAACUACAGCAAUAAGCAAUGGAUUAUAUUUAUCGGUGGGGGUAACCAGAAGCGGAACUGAAGAGGAAAUUGCAGGCGACUCUCUUCAACCAUGUAGAGGGUUGCGUAGAGGGUUUCCUUUCCUUGCAUUGGGGCCAAUCUCUUCAACCGUGUACUUCCCUGAUCCAAACCCAAAGAGAAAAUAUAUGAGUUUUAAUGAAGCUAGCAAUCUGCGACCAUAUUGUUUCGGUGUCAUUUUGGAAUUUGGAGACUUAAACAAAGGCUAUCGUGUGAACUGUGACUUGCUGUUUACUGAAAAAGCAACGCGCCUCUCAAAUUAUUGGAGAAGAAAUGUCCUCCUCACGCUGUGAGAGCUCCCAUAUGUUACCCCUCGAGGUAGUUUCCCAGCCAUCCGGCUUGGUUUCACUAAAUUGCCAGAAACCACCACAAUUGCGUCGAGUGGUGCAAAAAACCCUCCAGAAAAGCUAAAAGUUUGCGAAAAGCGUCUUUUUUGGUAAUCUUUUUGCCAAAAGCACAAAACGCUUGGUUAAGAGCCAUCUAAUGAGGGUUUCGCUGUUCAAUCUGAUUAGUGGGUUUCGCUGUCACGGCUGACUAGGCACCAAAAUCUCUCACCAUUUGACAGGAAAAUUAUCCUCAUGAAGGGCCCACCUGUCAGUCUCUCACCCAUACCUUCUUCCUCUUACUCCUGUGCAGCCCCCGGCCAGGAGCCCAGGUAGACACGCAGGCCAGCGCAGGUUAGUUCGUUUUUCUCCUUGGUUUUCCAUUCGUUCUUAUUUUUCUUUUGUUUAUGUUUUUCUUUAGGGGUACCUUUUCGAAAAUAUUCUAAGUACAUAUAUUCCAAAACUUAAAUUAACUUUGACAUUUUAAAAACCACGAAUUUGAAAAAUGUUAACGCACUGUAAAAAAAAUGUUAGGGUCAUUCAAUAAAAUGUUUGUCACGUUUAAUAAAUGUUCACAUGUUUCAAAACAAUGUAUGGGACAUUUUUUAAUGUUUAUACAAUGUUAACAAUAUUCGUGUAAUUAAAAAAACUUAUCAUUCAAAAAAAUGCACGCUACCUUUAAAAAAUCUUUACUUCAAAAAUAUGUUCGUGAAUUUUUUUUUCAAAUUAUAACAGUGUAAAAAAUCAUGUAGAUUAAAAAACUAUUUUGUACUAUCAUUCAAAAAAAUAUUUCAUCAUGUAUUUGAAAAUCAUUUAACACAUAUUUAAAAAAUUGUGUUCGGAAAAAUGUUAAACCUAUAACUGAAUUUGUUUUUAAACAUAUAUAUAUAUAUAAAUUCAGAUGUAUACGAAAAAUAUACAAUGUGUAUGGAUAAAAUUGGACAUAAAGCGUAUAUUUGGAAAAAUGUUAAUCAUGUAUUUGAAAGAAGCUAACUAUGCACAAAAAAAUGUUCCUGGUGUAUAGGAAAAAUGUACAAUGUGUAUGAAAAAAAUAAACAUGUAUUGAAAAACGGAAAAAAUGAAUAAAAUCAGUACUUAAACACAGAACAUCGAAACCAGAAGAAAACAGUUGAAACCAACACAUAAAACCAAAAAAAUCAAAGAAAAGGAAACCUGAACCGGAUAAACAAACAGAAAAUCAAAAGUAUAAGAUACCUUAUUGGGCUGGCCCAGUAGCACCUCGACGCGAAAAACACUUAGAGGGAUGAGCAGCCACCAUCUCGACCAUAUAAGCGAGAUGGGACUGUCUCAAAAUAUAUAUAGGNNNNNNNNNNNNNNNNNNNNNNNNNNNNNNNNNNNNNNNNNNNNNNNNNNNNNNNNNNNNNNNNNNNNNNNNNNNNNNNNNNNNNNNNNNNNNNNNNNNNNNNNNNNNNNNNNNNNNNNNNNNNNNNNNNNNNNNNNNNNNNNNNNNNNNNNNNNNNNNNNNNNNNNNNNNNNNNNNNNNNNNNNNNNNNNNNNNNNNNNNNNNNNNNNNNNNNNNNNNNNNNNNNNNNNNNNNNNNNNNNNNNNNNNNNNNNNNNNNNNNNNNNNNNNNNNNNNNNNNNNNNNNNNNNCUAUUUAACCAUCAAUGCACCGUAAUUUUACGUUCCAUAAGUUUUGUCUUAUUUCCGACGCAAAAAGGGACCGUAAGAAAAUAUAUAAUCGUCGUAAAAAAUAUUUUAUGUUAUGUAAAAUUACAAACGUAAAAACAUAGUCUAAAAUACACAUAAACUGCAAAUUUUCUUGUCUUAUGACCUAUAUUUUUAUUUUCUUAUGUCAAAUUUUAUGUAGUGAAUCAAUAGGAAUGUAACUAUUUGAAUUCGAAACAUAAUUUAAUUAUGAAAUGAUUGUAUGAUUACCCCGGAUGAAGAAUAACUUAUUCUGCAUCCUAGGUGAUGAAUAGUAACACUAUAUAUAAGCGAGAUGGGAGCUCCCAUUGAAAUACUCAUCGUGUCCAACAAAGGCAUUUUGCACAAGAGCGCUCCCUAUUGCGCACUGGACAAUAUUUGAAAGCACAGAUUUUUUUUUUGAAUUUGUGAAGAAAUUUUGAAAACGUGAUUUAUUUUCAGUUCUAAAAAAUAUUUGUAACAAGGACCUUUUACAAAAUCUUUAAUGUUUUAUAGAAUUUGUGAAUUUUCGGAAAAUAAUAAUAAAAGAAAUGAACACAAUAAAAGGAAAACCAGAUAACCUAGUAAAAAAAUAACACAAAAAACUCAAAUAAAAUACCGGUUCACAAACCUUCUACUAAGUUCCCAAAACCGGCCAGGAACUUUCUAGAUCCGGAAAUGGGAUCAUGUACUAGGUUCUCUUCUACAAAUGAGCCGACCCAUAGGAUGGACACAACACAACACGCGUCAUAUAGAAAACUAGAUAAUACUCCGUACGUUGUUGCGGGAGUUGGCUGAUAUAUUUUUUGGUGAAGUUGAAACAUGAAUAUUGUAUAGAUGUAAACAAAUUAUGGGAAAAUAUUUUUCACAUGCACGGUUGCAUAUUUCGGUGGAUCAUUUGCCAUGGAUGGUAGCAUCUUGAGGUGGCCUUAUUUACAUGCAUGACUCUAUGUUGACAUGGCAUAGCUGCAUACUAACUUACUAGGAUAAAAGGAGAUAGUCGGGAUCAGUCUCUUAUGUAUAUAGAAAAUAGGAUAUAGGAUACCCCAAAGAAAAUCGUUGAAAACUAACACAAAAAAUAGAUGAAACCGACAAAAAAAGGAAAAACAGAAAACCAAAAAAUGAGUGGAAAACUAAAGGUAUAUCAUCCCUUCUUCGACCGGCCCAGUAACACCUCUACGCGAAAAACCCUUGAGUCAAGAGCAGCUACCAUAUCACUGUAAGCAAGAUAUAGCUCUCGCGUUCCCUCCAAAACAACGUAAGGCACGAUGGCGUGUUUCCGACAAUGGUACCGUUGAUUAAGGCUUACUACGCGGUUGCUAAAUCGUGAUGGGUUGUAUUUACUUUAUAAUUUGUUGUGAAGAAAGUAGACAUACAAUAAAUAGACAAAGUGGGUCAAAAUAAAUGUUAAGAUUAACAAAAACAAUUGGAUCAGAGUGAAAAAUCACAACACUAAAAGUUAAGAAGGCUUAGGAGGUUCAUUCAGCAUGUCCACGAAUUAUUUCUCUUUUUCUAUGAAUACAUAAAGUGUGCGUAUCUUUUUAUUGAUAAAGGGAAACAUAAUGAGUACAUGAAAGGGCACACACAAACACAUAUAUAAGAAGGUGUGUGUGCAUGGAAUCCGGAGCAGAGAGACAAGAGACGCUUAGCCCGAAUAGAGGAAAAGAAACACAGCUAAACCCACCAAGCCUGAAAGAGGGGUAGGCCGAACCGGCAUGACGUCAAACAUCUCCAAAGCCAACACCGAGGACGCCACGAGCAACCAAGAUAGCGCCUUCAAGAAGGGGAGCCGCGACAUCAUCAAUCCGAAGAAGCGGACUAAAAGAUCUUCCCCGAUGCUCGAGGAGGGCCACAGGUAAAGGCCAUGCCAGCGUCUCCAAGAAGGGAAACAACACCCGCGAGUGUUGCCGCUGCCAACGCCAACAAUUAGAGCAAGGAUUACACCCUGGCCUAAGUCCAAAUAAUCUCAUUCCCGUCAUAUCAGGAUCCGGAGAUGAGGAAGUCAGUUUGUUGGUCGAGACCACCACCUCAAAAGGGGGGGAGGGGGUGCCGCCGCGGCGCGACAGGGACCAAGCUGUCCCGCCGCCGCCAUCCUAGGGCACAACACGACUUUGCCGACAGGCCCUUCGGCAGCGGCGAUGCGGAGGGGGCGACAAGGAAUGACCCUUCCAAAGGUGGCUAGGGUUUUGACACAGUAACGCAGAGGACCAACAGUGGGGAGCUCCCAUUGGGCACAUGCAGGCAAGUGUGACGUUGCAGAGGCCGGGCUCCAUGGAGCCUGUUUUGCCAUGAAGAAUCAAAGUAUACUUAAAAGUUUCAAAAAAUAUCAAUUUUUAUACAAAUACAUACGCAUGUUCGUCAAGUAUGUAAAAAAAUUCAUCGGGUAAUUCGAUUAUUUGCAUGCUACACAAAAAAGAUUAACAUCCGGCCCUAAACCAACAAAGAUAAAGCCCAUUUUAAUCUGUGUAUUUAUCUUUUUUGUGUACAUUACAUGUGAAUAUAUAUAUGGUCAUGAAAUUUUAUACAUGUAGUAUACUACAAAUACACAUCGACGUAUAUAUAUCCUUUCAGUAUUUUUUAAUAUGCGGACAUGGUAUUCUCACUGAAAAAGAAAAAGAAAGAGCUCGGCCUCAGCAAUGCUUUUUCGACAUGCAGGCUGUUCACUUCCUUGUUUACCAACUUAUUUAGGAGAUUUCGAACUGAAAACACGUGUUGGCCGUGUCUUCUCGCCCACCCAUGAACUGAACUGCCUUUGGUUUUUGGCCGGACACGUUUGUUUUGGUGACACAAUCUAGUGAGGAGUGAGUGCACCUGGUGACCACCGCCGACUGCUCUCAGCAUGCCGCAUACAGAUUCAUACUCAUACAGGUAGGCGGCUGCUUUUCACUUUCGGCCGGUAACAGGUGAGCGCUGCGUUCACACACAUUUUUUGUAAGUCAUCGGACUAUGGGUACCUGCAUGUGCCAAGCCGACCACACAAUCAUGAUCCGAUGCUGUUGCGUUGCAUUGACCGUCGGAUCGCCGCUCUUCGUAGUACUCCUACAUUAUUAUUAUUAUUAUUAUUAUUAUUAUUAUUAUUAUUAUUAUUAUUAUUAUUAUUAUGCGUUAUGUACUUUUCUGCUGUCGUGUAGUACACGUGGUGAUGUGUGCGAGAUGCUUUGUGUCUUACCCAUCGGUCAAAUCACAUCGGCACUAACUACUUUCGUUCCCAAAAGAUGAUGUAACGCUGUGUCGACUCCGGGUCUUAUUUCGAUCAUGAAUAUGGUUAACAAAAUGCAGAGUUAUGCUUGCAAUAAGAUUCUGGUGAUGUGAAUUUUGUUUAAAAGAGGUUUCCGGUCGUAUAUACUAGGUAGUAUAUAAACCCUCGGUUCCUAAAUGUAAGUCUUUUUAGAUAUUUCAAUAUGGACUACAUAUAAAGCAAAAUAAGCUCUAAAAUACAUCUAUAUGCAUUCGUGUGUUAUCCCGAUUGAAAUAUUUAAAAAGACUUGUAUUUAAAAACAGGGGGAGUAUAUGGCACGGGCAGCCGGUAGCAAGGGCUAACGAGCCGUAGCCGGUGGAGGCAAGUUCGAAACUUGAUGGUUCGGGGAGUUCGUCUAAGAAUUUGGAUGGUUCAGGCCUUCUUUGGUUUAUAUGAUAGGAAUUUUAUAGGAAUAGGAAAAUCAUAGGAAAUGAGAUGACAUGCAUGUCAAUUCCUAUAGAGAAAGAGAUGUCAUUUGGUGCAUAGGAUAGGAUUUUUUCCAUCGAGUCUAGACUAAUGUUUUUUUUCCUCCAAAACGUGAAGGAUUGAUUCCUAUCCUACAUAGGAAUAGGAAUGCAUUCCUACAAACCAAAAGGCUUCAAAGGAAUUUUUUCUUUGCAAAUCCUAUCCUAUAGAAUUCCUACAAAAAUCCUACAAACCAAAGGAGGCCUCAACAGUUUACAUGGAUGGCCAAGGGGCGAAGCAUGGUGGAGGCAGGCGGUUUGGCCUGGCAGGAUUGGAGGUUGUCAGAGGAAGAGGAAGCCACAAAAUCGUUUUCAAGCGAUUGACCCCUAGCCAGUCCCUUCGUUAGUCAAACAGGCAUGAACUAGAACCCUCAAACCCUGGAUAAAGGACAAGCACUUCUGUCAAAUACAAGGAGAAAUGGUAGUCCAUAGACUGAUCGAACUGUAAAGUCAUGGGUGGUUACACCGACUGCCUCAUCAUCUACCUAGAUACAGACUUCGACCGGAGAGCACAUGCAUGCAUCAUCUCUAAGCACCAUCUCCAACAGAUAGACCAACUGAUCAACAUACAUCACCGAUUCACAAUUCCUCCCAACAUGUAACCGCAAAAGCCGCCUUGCUAUCCACAAAAUUCCUCUUCAGCUCCAUUCUGGACUCGUAUCGCCACAAAAUUCAGGCUUCUCCCAAAGCCGCCCAACCUCAC
Molecule: long non-coding RNA, 67436 nt
Filed under: Triticum aestivum (bread wheat)
Lineage: Eukaryota; Viridiplantae; Streptophyta; Magnoliopsida; Poales; Poaceae
Description: long non-coding RNA (TAES_LNC020080)
Rfam family: MIR1120/MIR1122 microRNA precursor family (bases 662-748)
Source: RNAcentral